This 61076-nucleotide long non-coding RNA is filed under the name Capsicum annuum. Its description in RNAcentral is "long non-coding RNA (CANN_LNC004729)". Lineage: Eukaryota; Viridiplantae; Streptophyta; Magnoliopsida; Solanales; Solanaceae. The record is from RNAcentral.
GCUUUAAUUUCCCUCUCCCACCUUUCCGGCACCGCAGCCACUGCCCCCGUAGCCUCCACCAGUUUCAUAAAGAGCUCCUGCAAAUCCACCACUUUCCCCGAAGUAUGCAUCGCUUCCCUUUCCGGUUACGCAUCGGCAAUAAAGAACAGCCAAGAACAGAUAGUGAAAACUGCCUUGUCCGUAAGCCUAAACAAAGCCGAAACUACAAAGGAAUUUGUUAGCAAGCUGUUGAAAUUCAAGGGAUUAAAGCCUAGAGAGUAUGCAGCUAUAAAGGAUUGCGUAGAGGAGACAAGUGACAGUGUAGAUCGGCUUACCAAAUCUGUGAAUGAACUCAAAAGAAUGGACCGUAGCCAUGGGAAGGAUUUCCAGUGGCAUAUGAGCAAUGUGGAGACAUGGGUAAGCGCUGCAAUUACUGACGAGAAUACUUGUACUGAUGGAUUUGCUGGCAAGGCUUUGAAUGGGAGGAUUAAGGCUUCGAUUAGAAGUCAUAUAACUAGUCUAGCUCAAGUUACUAGCAAUGCGUUGGCUUUAAUUAAUCAAUAUGCUGCUAAAUAUUGAUUAAUUAGCCAUUAAUUAUGUUUUCGGGUGCUUCACAAUUAAUUAUGGUUUUUGCCUUUAUUGUUUUGGGGAGUGGUUUGUGUGGUACUUUGUAUAUUGUGAAUGAAAUUUCACGCGCUAAGUAUAAACGGGAGAAUAGAGGAUGGUUGAUUUGUCCUGGACGAUAUCUUUGCCGUUAUUUCUUGUCCUCCACGGGUUGUUUGUUGUACACAAGCUAUGCUUAUUAGUAAUGAAAAAAAAAUGGUAAUGCAUAAUUUAUAAUGCCCUAAUUACUUUUUGUUGAAUAUUUAUUUGUUUUAGUAAAAGCUACUAGUACUAGAUAGUAAGUACUCUUUCCAUCUAAUAAAUGUUGUUUAUGGAGUUCAAGGUAAAAUAAAUUCUAAUAGAGUACACAUUCAAUAAAAAUAUAUUAGUAUAUUAUAAGGCAAUAAGUAACGCUAUUUAUAAUCAAAACCUCUUUUAGAGUAUGUUUGGCAAAACUUUUAAAAAAAGUGAUUUUUUUUUAAAAAAAGUACUUAAUUUAAAAAGUUGAUGUAUUUAAUCAAGUUUUUAGAAAGAAGUUAAUGUUUUUGAGAGUAACAGAAAUAAUUUUUGAUAAGCUAAAAAAAAAAUCUUCUCCUCCAAAAUAUUUUUUAAAAAAGUAUUUUUGAGAAAAAUAUAUUUAAAAAUACUUUUACAUGUUUGAUCAAAUACUAAUUGUUAUUUUUUUUUUUUACAUUUUAUUGACUAAAUAUAAUAUCAAAAAAAAUAUUUUUUUUAAAUACUUUUUAAAAUAAAUUGAUUCUAGAAACUUGACAAACGGGCUAUUAAUCAAUGUUUCUUUAAGUGGCAGGUAAAAGACUAAUUAAUGUUUUCUUAAAUAGAGUGUAAACAAAAUCGCAUAACAUAUAAUGGGAUUGAAAAAAAAAGUAAUUCAAAAAGGUGUUCCUAUGAAAAGGAAAAUAGAAGUUACUUCCUCCGUCCCAUUUUAUUCAUCCCAAAUUUUUUAAUUUAAUUUUUUAUUUUACUUGUUAUUUUUCAUUAAUGAAGACAAGUCAUUUUUUUUUCUUUUUUACCCUUAGUAAUAAUUGUUUUUUCUUCAAAUUAAAAUGUAAUCAUUAUUUAAUAGGGGUACUAUGAUAAAAUAAUUAUGUUAUUAAUUAUUCUUCUUGAUCAAUGUGUAAUCUCAAAUUGGGACGAGUAAAAUGGGACGAAGAGAGUAUUUACUAUAACAAGUUAUUUUUGUCAUUUUGAUUGUGGUGAUCCACACAUUCUAAUUUGUACAUAAUAGUAGUAUUCCCUUCGUUUUAAAAUAAUUGACAUUUAUAAAUUUUACACAACUUUUAAGCAAAUAUUAAUUAAAAGUAUAAUAUAAAUAAUAUAUUUCUUAUUAAUUCCUUAAUCUUCAUCUAUUUAUGAGCCUCUUAAUUCUAGAAUAAUUAUUAUUAAGAAUAUAGUCGGAAAAAUUGAUUAAUUAUCUGUUAAUCUUUAAACAUAUCAAUUAUUUUUAGCAAGAUAUAUUAGUGCAUCGAUUGCAUUAAGGUAUGAUACUUCAUGACCAAGAAUUUCCUUGUUGUUUUCUUGAGGUCGGAAUGGAUCCUUAGUCACAUCAAGUGAUUGAACAAUCGUUGGAGCACUUAAUGGAUGUGCUCCAUCCAUAUAAAAUAUUUUCAAAAUCUUUUUUAUAUAGGUAGAUUGAUGGACAAAGAUACCGUUUGUCAAAUGCCCAAUUUGCAAACCAAGACAUAAUCUUGUUCUUCCAAGAUCUUUCAUCUCAAAUUCCUUCUUUAAAUAAUCAAUUGCCUUUUGAAGCUCUAUUGGAGUUCCAAUAAGAUUUAUAUCAUCAACAUAAAUAGCAAGUACAACAAUCUCUGAUGUUGUUUUCUUUAUAAAAACACAUGGGCAAAUUUCAUUAUUUUUAUAACCUUUUUUAGAUAAAUACUUACUAAGACGUUUAUACUACAUGCGUUCAGAUUGCUUCAAACCAUAUAAUGAUCUCUGCAAUUUACUUGAAUAUAUUUCUCGAGAUGCCUCAUGCAUUUUAUAUCCUUCAGAAAUUUUCAUGUAUAUCUCAUUAUCAAGUGAUUCAUAAAGAUAUGUUGUAACCACAUCCAUCAAAUGCAUUUCAAGCCUCUCAUGAACAGUGAAACUAAUGAGAUAACAUAAUGUUAUUCCAUCCAUAACUUGUGAGUAUGUCUCUUCAUAAUCGAUGUCAAGCCUUUGUGAAAAUCCUUAUGCAACAAGGCGUGCCUUAUGUCUUUGUAUUUUAUUUUUCUUAUUUCUUUUACGCACAAAGGCCCAGUUAUAGCCAACAGAUUUAAUACCAUUUGGUGUUUGAACAAUAGGUCAAAAAACAUCACGCUUGAUAAGUGAAUUCAACUCAAAUUAAAUUGUUUCUUGUCAUUUUGGUCAAUUAUUUCUUUGUCGACAUUCGGUGACUGACUGAGGUUCGAAAUUCUUGCCAUCUUACAUGAUUUUUAUUGCAAUAUUUAUGUAAACACAUAGUCCACCACUAUUUUUUAUCGAUUCAACUUAGCUUCACCAUCAUUUGUAUUUAUAGAUAGUUUUUCAUUUUCUUGAGGUUCAGACUCAUUGGUUCCUUCAGGGAUAAAUUGUUCAAAUCUUGAACUUCCAUAUGAGAUUCUUUCGUAAUGUCAUCUUGAUCAUUUAUUUUUAUUUUUCUAGAAUUUUGAUCCUUAGAACCUAAUGAUCUACCACGUUUCGGGUGUGCUUUAGACUCAUUAGCCACGAUACUAGUAGAUGGUCUUACAGGGACCUCAACUCGUAUUGGGACAUUCAUUGUAGGAAUGCAUGAUUUUGUAAUCCUUUUAAAUUUGUAAAUGUGUCUGGCAUUUGAUUUACAAUUUUCUAUAAGUGAAUAAUCUUUUGUACCUCUUGCUCACAAAUAGAAGUACGUGGAUCAAGAUGAGACAGUGAUGGAUUUUUUCACAAAAUUUUUCUUUUGAUUUCACUAUUUUCUCCCCUAAUUUUGGAAAAACAGUCUCAACAAACCGAUAAUAUACAAGUCGAUCAGUAAACAUAUCUCCAGUUAAUUAUUCAACGUAGCGAAUAAUUGAGAGUGAUUCAAAUCCAACAUAUAUUCCUAACCUUCUUUGGGGGUCUAUGUUUGUGAAACACCUUGUCUUUGGUGUAAUACCCCAUACUUUUCUUUGUUCAGUUCAGCUCAUAGUGCUUGCAUAAGAGGUUUAGAAUUUGAAAAUUUCUCUAAGUUUUGGGGAAUUAGUCUUAUUUUUGGCCUCUUAACUUCGAGGAUUUUUUAAACUGGCCUUCCUGACCCCGAGAUGUAAGUUUUAGAGUUAAUUCAUGUUCACGGGUAUAAGGAGUAUUUCUUGGGAAAGUUUUAAAUUGUUUAGAUGAUAAUUGAGGCAUGUUUGGAUUUCAAUUCCAGAACCUCACCGCGAUAGUGGCGCAUAGUGGUGCGUAUAGCAAUGAGCACAUUACCCCAUCGCGGUGCCAGUCUAAACAACAUUUCAGUUACGAAUUUAAUCCUUGAGGGGCAAUCAUGUCUUUUUCUCACUAACCCAAUUCGUAAAAACAAGAGAUUAAACUUCAGUUAGGGCAUUAUUUGCCCUAAUUCUCCUAAUUACUCUCAAAUACAAGCCCUUUCCUUCCCCAAGUUCAUCAAAUUCAAUCCCCUUCCUUCCAAGAAAACCAAGAAUUUGUGUUUCCCAAUCCAAGAACAUUCAAGAAAGCUUUCAAGAUUGUGUUUCUAUUUCAACUUUAAGAGUCUAAGGUAUGUGAGAUGUUCAUCCAUGGGUCCUUUCCUCCCAUGGAGUUCAACAAUCCGUCUUUAUGUUUUAAAUUAUGAAAUUACAUGUUCAUGUUGAAUUAUCUCCAUUAAGUUUUAUGAAUUUGGGUUAUACAUUAUGUUUGCAAUUGUUUUUUGAUGGAAUUGGCCUUACACAUUGGAAUGAUGAUAUUUUUAUAUUAAAUCCUUGAUUAAUGGUUUUUAGUAUUGAAGCUAUGUUAUUAUUACAUGUUCUAAACCAUUCUUAUGCUUUAAUUCAUGACCCUCAUGUGUUUGAUAAAAUGCCUAAGUGUUGAAUUUGGAAUAAUAAUUUCCUUCUAUGGUUUCAAAGAUUUCAUGUGUUCCUAUUGUGAUUCCAUUGAGUCCUGGAGGGUUAUGAACACCCGUUACUUAGCUGUUUACAUAGUUUUUAGUAUUUUUAGAAUGGUUUCAGGUAAACCAUGAGGUCUUAUCAUUUAGUUAGUAUCAUGUUCAAUUGUUAGCUCAGUUAAGCUCAGUUUAGUCCAGUAGUUAGUGUCAUUCAGUUAGGAGUAGGAUUCAGCACCGAGCGAACCUAGGGAUUAGGGCAUUCCUACCAGGUUAGGGUUUGACCCUUAGUAGCAAUCCCUGAGUUACAGAACUACAUAGCCAGCAUAGGUUGAGAUGUGUUCCUGGCAGUUUAGGGUUGACACACAUCACAUGAGUACUCCUGCCAGAUUAGGGUGACUUUUUAGACCUUCGAGACACUAGUUUAGUGGAUCCACACAGCCAUUGUUAGUACCCGUGGCAUGGUACUGACACCCUUCCAACUAGGGUUACGAGUUGGACCCCGAUUAGCUCAGAUUGGGGCAUGUCGGUUAGAUGAUACCUCCCACUAUCUCAGUUCAGUAUUAAGAACAAAAUUCAAUUUCAGGUUUUCUUGACCAUAGCAUACAGUUAUCAGAUUUUAGUAUUUUAGUUUACAGACUGUUCAGACUCAUAUUAUAUGCUUGGUCAUGCAUUCUCAAAUUUUACUACUUUCACAUAUUUAUAUUCAGUAAUCUCAUGCUAUUCAUCCAGUCAUUACUUCAUGCACAUAACCCAUGCAUUUCAACCUAAUCUUAUCUUUUAUACCGGUACAUUCAAAGUACUAAUCGUAUACUCAUUUCUUGAGCUAUGAUGUUUAAUAUCAUAGGUUCAAAUGCUCAGUUUCUUGACCGCACUUAGACGUUUUAGCUUAUCAGCAACGAUAACAAAAGUGAGUCCUCAUGUUUUGACGACCUAUUAUGUUUCUUUCGAUAUUUUAGUAUUUCUUUCCAGUUAGCCAGUCGAAGUUUGUUGGGGGCUUGUACCAUCAACUCCUAAGUCAGUAGAGGCUUUCAACUUUUCUGACAGUUAGUUAGUUUAUCAGUUAUAUCAGUCAGAUAUUCAGUAUUGUCGCAUAUUUUUCUAACUCAUGGAUUCAAAUGUAUUGUUUUCAAUAUUUAAACCUUAUGGUGUAUUUAGUUGAUUUUUGCAUAUGUCUUUUAUUAUCAAUUUUACUCAGUACUCACAGCAGGUACCAGCUUAUGGGUUAGCUUAUGGUCACUUGUGAUUGUAAGCACCAUUGUCGCGACUAGGGGGUAUCUUCGGGUCGCGACAAAACUUAGUAUUAGAGCCUAAGGGCUUACAAUGUCCUAGGGAGUCUAAAAGCCACAUUGGGUAGAGUGUUGUGCAUGGAGGUGAAGCACGCCACACUUAUGGACAAGAGUCUACGAGAUGUUUUAGGAAAAAUUGCCCUUCUUUCAAUGUUUAUGUCGUGCAAAAGAGCAUGAGCUCUAGUUAAACUCUCUUUCUAAUUCAUUUUUCCUUCCGUUUAUAGAAAAUGCCUCCCAGAAAGAACAAUAGAAGAAGAAACAAAAAUCAACCUGCACCUCCGCAUGUUCAGAAAGAUCCCCUGAAUGAGCAUGUCUCUCACGCUGAGCUCAGAGCUGUCUUCACUACUUUAGCUCACUCAGUAGUAUCUCAGAAAAAUCAGCGGGCUGUUAUCCCAGCUAAUCCAAUAGCUGAUACAACUACAGCUAGGAUUCAGGACUUCACCCGAAUAACCCUCUUUAUUUUUUAAGACCCAAGUCCGAUAAGGAUCCACAGGAGUUCCUUGAUAUGGUUCAGAAGGUGGAUGAUAUUAUGGCUUUCACAUCUAGUGAGAGUGCAGAGUUGGUUGAUUACCAGUUGAAGGAUGUAGCUCACACAUGGUAUAAGCAGUUCAAGGAAGAUAGAGGUGCAGAUGCAGGGCCUAUAGAUUGGGAAGAAUUUGCCAUGGCCUUCUUAGCUAGGUUCUUCCCUUUGGAUUUGAGGGAAGCUAAGGUGCAUGCGUUUAUAAAUUUGAAACAUAUUAGUAUGAGCAUAAAGAAGUAUUCCCUUAAGUUUACUCAGUUGGCCAGGUAUGCUCCUAACUUGGUAGCUGAUAAUAGGUCUAGAAUGAGUAAAUUUGUAUAUGGUAUAGCUGAUAGUAUAGUCAUAAGUGUGGGAUUUCUAUAUUAAUUAAGGAGAUGGACUUGUAUAGGCUUAUGGUUCAUGCUCAGCAGAUUGGGGAGAAGAAGGUUAAGGAGAAAAAAAGAGAGAACAAGAAGGCUAGAACAGAUAGCUUUAAUUUUUCACAGCUGAGGUCAGAUAGUGGUAACCGUUCUCAAUUCUGUCAAAAAUUAUAACGACUCGAGACUACCCCCUAGUUAUCACACGGUUUUUGAAACCACAAGUGAUCCUAAGCUAAUUCAUGAACUGGCAUACUGUUAAGAAAUUAAAUUAUAACAUAAUAAAUAGUUGUUCGGCUGUACGAAAACAUAAUCAUACUGAAAAUCUAAAAUAGAUACAAUACUGAUAAAGCUUUACAAUCUGAUAAAUCUGAAGGAUGAAACUGAAAUUACAUGACUAACUUUGACUGACAUCUAUGAAGCCUCUACUAUACUGACUAUAGAUAGUUAGGACAUGCCUCCAACUACCACUAAUCAAUACACAUGGAAAAUAAAUAAAUUAUACAUGAACUAAAUUUUUCUAGAGUUCCCGAAGUAGGAGAACUCAUCACCUGCUGGCUGGAAUCUACAACUGUCUGAUCAUGAUAUGCGGGCUACAAUUAGUACCUACAUUAUGAAACAAUGUAGACACACAGACGUAUAUGUGGAUCGGUACUUCUGGAAUGUAUUGAGUAUGCAGGGGUGAAUGCAAUAAGUAAAAUAGAUUUAUACGUAAUCUUAAAACAUGCAUGCUAAGUGUAAGUAGACUCACCAAUAGGCUGGAAUAAACUGGAACUGAAAUAUCUUAAAGCAUGAGUGACAAAUAUUUUCUGAUAAGAUGGUGAAUCUCUACACUUAAUUUCUGUAAACUUUACUUUAAUAAUAUAAGCAUAACUGAAGCUGGGAUAUGAUAAAACAUGGAUUCUGUAUGAAUACUGGUCUGAAACUAUGUGAUGGAGACUGACAUAAAUAGAGGAUCUGAAUAUAUAAUCACACUGAGCACGAAUGCAUAAACAUACUAACUUAUCUGAUUAACUGAAUGACUAAUAGCUGAAUAGUGGCAUGUAAGACUGAAUUGUACUUAGUCUGAAUAACUAUACUAAAACUAUAGAUUAUUAUACAUAUAAGGUAAGUACUGACUGAGUAACAUGAGAUAACUGAGCAUGAAUUCGUGAAAAACUAUAUUAUUUGAGAAUGCAAGACCAAGAGUAUAAUAUGAUUCUGAAGUAGUUUGUAAACUGAGGUUCUACAAUACUGAUAACUGAAUAACUAAUAACUGUAAGCUAUGGUUAAGCAAACCUGAAAUUGAACUGAGUUAUUAAUCUGAUUACUCGACUGAGACUGUGACUGAGACUGUAACUAAGACGGUAACUGAGACUGUAACUAAGACAAUAACUGAGACUAUAACUAAGGAUGUAACUAAGACUUAUACUAGAACUGAGUACUGCGAUUAUUGAUAACUGAGUUACUAAAAAACUGGGUGACUGUAUCUGACAGUCCUAAUUUUAUAGAACUGAACUGAGUUCUAUAUUGAGUCUAAAACUAAAAUUAAAACUGUGAGAGGUAAUUAUCUAACCGACAUGCCCCUCUCUAAAUAGAUUGGGGUCCUACCUAUAACCUCAGUUAGAAGGGUGUCAGUACCGUGCUAUGGGCAAAGACACGCUGAAGAGUCAACCCUCAAUCUGGCAGGUUGAUGUCUCAACCUACACUGGCUAUGUAGUUCUGGAACACAAGGACUGCUUCUAAGGAUCAUAUCCUCUAUUGGCAGGUGAAUCCCCAUCCUUGGGUUUACUCAGUGCUGAAUCUUACUCUCAAGUGAAAUAGACAUUGAACUAAUUUCUAAACUAUACGAGGUUGGACUGAACUAUUACUGAUCAUGUUAACAAAGUGAACUGGACUGAGUUCACUGAGUUAUGAUGUCUGAUUGAAUACAGUGAGUUUUGUACUGACUGAGUACUACUGAUCGUGACAUUACAAAGACUACUCUGUAACUACUAUAGCUCUAGGUAAACAGCUAGAUUUUUGGGUAUUGAAUACCUCCAGGACUCGAUAGCAUGGAAAGUAAAGCAUAGCAUGAUCUUGAAAAGCAUGGCCAUAGUCAAUUGUUCACAAUUCAUUCACUGAUACAUUUUAUCAAACACUUGGAAGUUAUGGACUUGUACAUGAAUGAGAACACAUGGUAACGUGUCAUGAUUACCCUAUUCAAUUCACAUGGGCAUUCUAUCAAGCACGUGGAGAUUAAUACUUUAAUAUGGGGCAAUUCGCUAAACACAUAGGGAUCAUGAACUUGGACAUAGGAAUAUCUUAAACACGGGAGCAUAGCAUGAUUACAUAACUAAAAUCAUGAAUUGAGAAAUUCACAUGCAAUUCGCUUGAAAUAGGACAUGGGUAUUUCAUCAAAAUAUGUAAAGUUCAUAACUUGAACAUAAGAAUGUCUUAAUCAUGAGGGAAUAAUAGAGUUACAUGGCAAAAUUCAUAACUUGGGGAUUCAUCUUGAAAUUGACUUAACAUGAUAUGGGGAUUUCAUCAAACAUGUAGAAGGCAUGAAUUUAAAACAUGGGAAUAUUGCUAAACAUUAUGAAUUUAGAAUCUGUCAUGGAAUUUACUUGAAUAAAGCAUGGAAAAUUCAAAUUCAUAGCAUGAGGAAUUUAAAAUCUUUCAUGAAAUCAUACAUGGGCUGAAUUGAAUUAAAAACAUCAUGAAAACAAGAGAUUCAAUCUUUCUUGAACUUACAAAAUACCAUAGUAAUGGAAAAUUCAUUACCUCAAAGCUUUAAUCUUGAAGGAGAAACACAAUCUUGAAAGCCUUCUUGAAUUAGGAAACUUGAGUUCUUGAUUUUCUUGAAGAAACACUGAUGAAGUUCUUGGUGUUCUUGAGGAGGCUAGGGUUUUUCUUUUAAAUAAAAGAUGAAUAAUUGAUUGUAUAUUGCUUUUAGGGGCUGAAAUUAUGUGUUAUGGAAGGAUUUGGUUGAGGGGAAGUGACCAAAGUGCUCCUAGAUCCUUUAGAAACUGAAUUAGCAUGUGAAACAGUUUUGUAACGCGUAGGAUGAUGCAUCGCGUCGCUAUCGUAUCAGUUUACUGCCUCAUACAGAAAAUGCCAUAACUUUUCGCUCGGGUAUCGGAUUUUGGCAAAAUUGGCAUCGUUGGAAAGCUAAUUCAAUUAUCUACAAUUUUAUGGGUCUUGGGAUACAAAAUUCUAUGUAUAUAAAAAGGUAUAUAUUUUUAAAGUAGACCCUUAUAGAAUCAAAUACCAAACUUUGGACGAAUCAAAGUCUCUAAGCUCAACUUUGUUCUAAUUGAUUCUUAUGAACAUUUUUCACCUCAAAAGCAAAUCAAACAUGAGAAUAAAGAUCAUAAACUUAAAUUCACAUGGGAAUUAUUUAUAUUAUAGCUUAUACACAUAUGAACAGUGGUUUGAAGAUUAUCCCAAAAAUGCGGGCUAUACACGUAGGAACGAUAGUUCGAAGAUUAGCCCAAAAAUGUGGGGUAUUACAAAAAUCUUCAGCCACAGCUCCAUCUUCAGCUAGUACACUAGUACCAAAGUUCAAAAAUGAUAAUCGGGAUAAAGCACCAAGCUCAAAGUCCCAGGGCAGUGUAAACAAUAGAUAUACUAAUCCCCUUUGCCAGAAAUAUGGUAGAAACCAUCUAGGUGUGUGUAGGGCUAGCAGUGAUGUGUGUUUUGGGUAUGGCAAGCCAGGCCACAGAAUCAGAGAAUGUCCUAAAGUUUGUCUGCUAAGUCAGCACAAUCGUCCUUCAGCUCCAGCAGGUUAUUCGACUCAGCAGAGAGCUACAUCCAGUGCCACUAGUUGACAGUAAUAGAACAAGCUAUAUGCACUUUAGUCCCAACAGGAUCAGGAAAGGUCUCCUGAUAUAGUUAUUAGUACGUUGCAGGUCUUUCAUCUUCAUGUUUAUGCUUUGUUAGACCCCAAAGCUUCACUUUCUUUUGUAACCCCCUAUAUAGCUGUUAAUUUUGGUGUCAGUUCCAAAACUUUAGCAGAAUCUUUCUUAGUGUCUACCCCAGUGAAUAAAUCUAUCAUAGCCAAGCGGGUAUACAAAAAAUCCCUAGUUACAGUAUCCCAGAAAAUUACUUCAGUAGACUUUGUGCAGUUAGAGAUGACUAAUUUUGAUAUCAUUCUCGACAUGGAUUGGCUCUACUCAUGUUAUUAUUUAGUUGAUUAUAGAAAUAGAGUCAAUCAUUUUUAGUUUCUGAAUGAACCAGUUCUUGAAUGGUGAGGUAGUACUUCAGCACAUAGGGGUCAGAUUGCUUCAUAUCUUAGAGCAAGAAAAAUGAUAUCCAAGGGAUGUGUUUACCAUCUCGUUCGAAUUAGAGACUCUAAUUUCGAGACUCCCAGUCUCGAGUUAGUUUCAAUAGCGAGGGAAUUUCCAGAUGUGUUCCCUGAAGAUCUUCCCUGAGUUCCUCCCAAAAGAAAAAUUAACUUUAGAAUAGACCUUCUUCCAAAUACCCAGCCUAUCUCUAUUUUGCCCUACAGAAUGGCUCCAAUUGAGCAUUGGGAGUUAAAAGAACAGUUGAAAGAUCUUCUAGAUAAGGGAUUCAUCAGGCCUAGUGUCUCCCCAUGGGGCGCUCAAGUCCUUUUCAAGCGUAAGAAAGAUAAUUCCCUUAGAAUAUGCAUCGAUUACCGUAAGUUGAACAAAGUCACUAUCAAGAAUGAGUACCCACUUCAUAGAAUUGAUGACUUGUUUGACCAAAUUUAGAGUGGUAGUUAUUUCUCUAAGAUAGACCUUAGAUCCGGCUAUCAUCAGCUCAAAAUCAGAGAAUAUGACAUUGUGAAAAUAGCUUUUAAAAUUCAGUAUGGUUAUUUCAAAUUUCUAGUUAUGUCAUUUAGACUAACGAAUGCCCCAACAACCUUCAUGGACUUGAUAAACACAGUGUUCAAGCAGUACUUGGUCAUGUUCAUCAUAGUCUUUAUUGAUGAUAUUCUUGUCUAUCCUGUAGUGAAAAUGAUCAUGCAGACAUCCUCAGAAUUGUAUUGCAGACCCUUAGAUCCCAUGCGUUAUUUUCCAAAUUCAGUAAGUGCGAGUUUUAGCUAAGAUCAGUAGCUUUUCUUGGCCAUAUUAUUUCUGGUAGUGGCAUCAGAUUUAACCCUCAAAAUACUGAAGUAGUAAGAAACUGAUCCAAACCCAUCCCUCCAUUAGUUUUUAGGAGUUUUUUGGGUUUAGCUAGCUAUUACAGAUGGUUUAUUGAAGGGUUUUCAUCUAUCACAUCCCCCAUUUCUUAAUUGACCCAGAAGAAAUUCAAGUUUUAGUGGUUAGACUCCUAUGAGAAAAUUUUUCUGGAGUUGAAGACUCGACUCAUCUCGGCCCUAGUCUUAACGUUGCCAGAUGGUUUAGAUGGGUUUGUUAUUUACUGUGAUGCUUUCAAAGUCAGUCUAGGUUGUAUGUUGAUGCAGAGAGGUAAGGUCAUAGCCUAUGCCUCUAGACAUCUUAAACCCCAUAAAAAGAAUUAUCCUACCCAUGAUCUUGAGUUAGCAGCCGUUGUUUUAUCAUUGAAAAUUUGAAGGCAUUAUCUUUAUGGGGUACAUGUUGAUGUGUUCACAGAUCACAAAAGCUUGCAGUAUGUGUUUUCACAGAAAAAUUUAAAUCUCCAUCAGAGGAGGUGGUUAAAGUUGUUAAAAGAUUAUGAUAUGACUGUGUUGUAUCAUUUAGGCAAGGCCAAUGUAGUGACAGAUGCCCUUAGUAGAUUGUCUAUGGGUAGUAUGGCUCAUGUUGAGGAUAAUAAGAAGAAGCUAGUUUGGGAGGUUCGUCAUCUUGCUAGAUUAGGUGUUUGGUUGGUGGAUUCUGCUGAGGGUAAUGUAUGGGGUCAAAAUAGUUUCGAAUCUUCUUUGGUUGCCAAAGUAAAAAAAAAAAGCAAGACAGGGAUUCCAGUUUGGUUAAGUUGAAGUAUCUAGUCAGAGAUAAGAAAGUAGAGGGUUUAUCCCAAUGGGGAGAUAGUGUGUUGCGAUGUUAAGAUAAACCAUGUGUACCGUGUGUUGAUGGUUUGAGAUAGCGAAUCCUUACAAAAGCGCAUAGUACAUGUUAUUCUAUUCUCCCAGGAGCCACUAAGAUAUACCGUGAUUUACGAGAAAUCUAUUGAUGGAGUGGUAUGAAGAGAGAUAUUGCAGAGUUCAUAGCUAAGUGAUCUAAUUGUCAGCAGGUUAAGGUUGAGCACCAGAGGCCUAGUGGUACUUUGCAGGAUUUUAGUAUUCCCACUUAGAAGUGGGAAGAGCUGAACAUGGAUUUUAUGACAGGGUUGCCUCACACACAUCGUCAGCAGAUUCGAUAUAGGUUAUUGUCGAUAGAAUGACCAAAUUAGCCUAUUUCUUGCCGGUUCAUACUUCUUACUCAACUGAGGAUUACUCUAAGCUCUAUAUUAGAUAGUUGGUUAGGUUGCAUGGAGUCCCGUUGUCUAUUAUUUCAGAUAGGGGUACUUAGUUUACCUGUCACUUUUGGAAAGAUUUUCAAAAGGGUCUUGGUACCUAAGUUUAUCUUAGUAUAAAUUUUCAUCCUCAGACAGAUGGUCGGGCAUAAAGGAACAUUUAGACCCUAGGGGACAUGUUGAGAGCUUGUGUUAUUGACUUUAAGGGUAGUUGGGAUGAUCACAUGCCAUUAAUUGAGUUUGCCUAUAAUAACAGUUAUCACUCCAGUAUUUAGAUGGCUUUAUUUGAGGCUCUCUAUGGAAGGUGUCACGCCUCAAAUCCUAUUGGGGCGGACAGGCACCCGUAGUCGUAAAGGCCUGAGAGAACCAAUUCAUAACCUUGUACUUCUCAUGCAUGUAACUAUGACAACCAAAGGUUCUGACAAAUAUGAUAUUUUGUAUCAAUGAUAAUAAUUACAUAGGCAAGCACAAACUUACAUAUAAAAUACUUGGCCGUUGGGGCCACCACACUACAAAAAAUGUGUAAAAUUGCGGGAGUUUAUUUGCGGAGGUUAUUUUAACCUCUGUAAAAUUAUAUAAAAUGUGGGGUUUUAAACAUUGCCGCUAAAAUUUAUAAAUUUGUGGGGGUUUAAACCCCCACUAUAAAUUGCGGGGGUUUAACCCCCCGCUAUCAAUAGAAAAAAGUUACUUUAUACCAUUAAAUAAAAAAAUUCCCUCUAUUUUUUAAUUGGCCAAAAUUUUCAUUCCCCCCUCCCAAAUCUCCCUCUCUCUCAUUUCCCCCAAAAUUUCCAUUCCCCUCCCCAAAAAUAAGAGAUCUAUAAUGGAAAGAAGGCAUAGGUUCCGCUGGUGCUAACUCAAAUCUAUACCCUUAUGCAUUGUAUUCGCAUACGUCAUAUAGGGGAGGUAUCACUUUUGCAACUUACAUUUGAUUAUUCUAUUUUUUUUGUAAUGUCUUCACUUUCAAUCAUCCAGAGGAUUUGAGAUGCCCACCGACACUGGAUCAGCCUUGGUUCAUGGUAUUUGUUAUUCUCAUAUUAAUUUCAUGUGUUUUUGUGUAUGUAAAUUCCACUUUUUUUUCCUAUUUAUUUUGUCCACUUUGCAAACCAUUUAGUUCAGUAACAGUUAAAUUCAUGGAACUGGAUGCUGCUUUGUAUAUGAACAUAGAAAUGACACUGAAGGAGAGGUUUCAAACCAAGAUGUACAUCUUUCAAUCAUUCUUCCAAAAGUUCCUGGCCGUUUUUACUUCUACGUCGGUAAGCCAAUUGAAACCGAAGGUAAUUAUAUUUCUGAAGUAUGUAGUUCAGUGUAUUGACGUAAGCGUAGAAGUAAUCAAUCUUUGAUGACCUUUUACUACUUGUUGCAGGGAGAAAUGAGGAACUAAAAAGCAGGGAGAAAUCACAUGAAUUAUAUUUGGAAGUGAAGUAUGAGGUUGAGAGAUGCCUUGAAUACCUGAAGGAGAAAAGAGAGAGUGAUCCGUAUAGGAACAUAAUGGCCCGCCUCCCUUACCAGACUACCCAUGGCUUUAAUUCUCAAGUUCCUACCUUUGAUCUAUAGUAUUUUUUUUCACAUAUUUAAUUCUCUUCUCAUCCUGAGAUAUUUAAAUUUGCACCUUCCUUCCUUCAAAAGAAUAAAACAAAACAGAAAAUGAAAAAAUUGUUAAGAAGUUAUGCUUCUUUUGAUUUACACGUUCGUUCUUUCUCAGGUAUUUACAAUAAAGCAGAUAGCAUUUUACAGCGAGUUGAUCAUACAUAGUAUGGCAUGUGAAGACGUAGGACGCUUAAUUCCUCAUCCAUUACCUUUUUACAGUAAUAUUGGUUGACUGGAGCUAUUGUUAUUAUUAUUAGUAUUAUGGGUAUUUUUGAGAAGUGAUGGCCAAACAUACAUGAUCAAUUAAGUGUUAAACUAAAAUAGGGAGGGCGUUGGUUUUCGUAGGGGAUGGAGAUAAUAGCAUCCCAUAUUCACACCUGAAGAAUGGGGUAGUCAUAAAUAGAACCAGAGUCUGCUUAGAAAUAAAAGGAAAAAAAGACCAAAAUUGAUUAGGCAAAAGACGUUUAGGUAGAAGUGGUCCCUCCAUCAGUCAUCCAAACUAUAGAAACGUAAUUAUGAAGUCAGUUAAAAAAGUUGACGGGCCCUACUAAAUUUAAAAAAAAUAAAAUAAUUGCAGAGGUUUUAACCUCCGCAAGUUUUAAAUAAAUAUUUAUUAUAAAAAUAAUUAUAUUUAGAAUAAUCGGUUUUAAUAAUCGCCGUAAAUUAAUUACGGGGGUCAUAACCGCUGCAAAAUAACCCCUACAAAUUAAUUAUGGGGGUUGAAAAAAAACCGUCGCAACUUGUUUGUGACGGCUCAUAUUUCGAGGAUUUUGGAAACCCCUGAAAUUAUAUUUUGCGGGGGUUUUAAAACCCCCGUAAACAGCAAAAUGAACUCCCGCAAUUUAGCCCCUUUUUGGUAGUGCCAUGUCUAAAGGCAAGACACUACCAUAACUUUACAUUAGUCUACAAAGCCUCUAAAAUAUACAUAGACUUAGUUAGGGUCGGGACAAACCCCCGCCCUACUCUUGACUUACUAUAUAUUGAACAGACUCGGAGAGCCCCGAAUCAAAGCUCACCAAUAGUCAUUUAAUAGCCUGCGCUCCUACUAGUGAGGUGUAUGAACUGAAGUACCUGUGCCUGCAGCAUAAAAUAUAGGUCCCCUGUGAGGGACGUCAGUACAAAAAUAUGUACUAAAUAUGUAAGACUGAAGGUAGCAACACAUGAUACAAGAGCUCAAUAGAAAUCAAAUACAAGUGUAUAAGUAGUACUAGUAUACCACCUUUAUAUAUACUUGUGGGACUACAUACAUUAGGUUCCUUUCUUCAUUUUUACCUUUCUUACUUCAUAAUCUUUGUAAGCCAUAUAUAAUGCAAGUGACCAGUUGAUCAGUGGUAAAUAGAUAAAUUAGGAUUGGCCCAUCUAGGCUUAUGCCCCUAAGCUGCCACCUAUAUAUAAAGAUUGGGAUCGGCCCACGCUAGGUUUAUGCACUUGAAAUGCCACCCAUAUAAAGGUAUCGAGAUCAGCCCAUGCUAGGCUUAUGCCCCUGAGCUGCCACUCGUUCUACAUAUUUAUUUUACUUAGUUUAUUUAUCCUUUAAGAUUGUUACUUUGGUGGUCAUAAUAUUAUGGUACCUUGAACCAAUAAUCAGGUAAUAAGAGACAUAUAAAUGGACACUUAAUGCAACAAUAAUGGGGUAGGAAGCUAUUGGCACACAAAUAAAGUGUUUAGGAGCUGAAAAUAACACAUGGGUCUUAUUUAAACAAGCGGAGAACUCCUGAAAUUUUCUAGAGAAGAUAGACGUGCAGGUUUAAUAAUAAGCAUGUAUUGAGGUGUUUUAACAUGUUAGAGAGUGGAAACAAGGUCAUUGGCUACAUGGAAUGUAACGUGCGGCUAUUAUGUAUCACUUGUUAUAGGAUAACCUUGGAAGCUUACUUGAUGGAACAAAUGUCCGAUUUCAUUCCAAAGAGUGCAAAAUAGAGUAUGCCUUACAUACAUGGUUAUAUAACUCCGAAACUAACCCAACUUGACUUUCCACCUUUUAGAUUACUUAUCUAUAAUAGAAUAUAUGGUAAAUUAAUAUUAGCAAGCAACUAACACAUUUAGGCUACUUAACUUCACCCAAAAUAAUAACUGGGCAGUAAGCCAGUAAUCUAUCAAUCAAGGGUGUUAUUUUAACCCUUUUCUCCUCUAAUUACACCCACAGGUUCUUAUAAGAUUCACCGAAACCACCUCGACUUCAUUACACUGUCCAAACAAUACUCCAAAACAGAUUGGGUAGUAAACAAAUGCAAUAAUUGGUUUGGUGGUGUACCGUCACACCUUUCUUCUAUAUUUCAUUACAAACUAAUCAUACCUUUCUCCAACAUCAAAAAAAUAAAUACAAAACAGCCUCAAAUCCUUUUCAUUGUAGCAAUCAAUUAUUGAACUCAUCAUCUCUUGAGUUCUCAAUAACAAUACAUCCAUAAUUCUCUUUCAAAUUCACAUACAAGGAGAACAAAAUGGAGAAGUCACCUUACCUCAAUUUCUACAACUUAUUCUUUUAAUUUGAACUCCUUAAAACUUCAACUUUCACUUUCCUUCACACUUUAAACCAAAGAAGAAAAGAGAUAUCUUAAUAACAAAAAAAAAGUGAGCAAGUAGCUUUUCUAUAUUCUGCCAUGUAUUUAUAAUUAGGCACCUAUAGCAUGUUUUCCUAAUCUUUCAUGAGAUAAUUAAGCUAAACCAUAAGAUUUUUCACUUACCUUAAUCUACGAAGGUGAGGGUUUCUUCAAAAACCCUAGAAGGAAUUCUAGGGCUGCUCCUUGUUGUUUUAUAGAGAGUAGAGAGAUUUUGUGGAAUAUACACUUUUUUGUGACUUAGAAAUGAAGUAAAAUGACCAGCAACUUGGCCUUAUAAAGGCCCUAUUUUGUCCACCUCCUUAGCUGCAUUUUGGACCUUAAAAUUGGUCAAAUUGGUCCAAGUAGGUGAUGCACCUACUUAAGGGUUUAAGCUUCUCAAAUUUUCAAAGUAGGUGAUAUACCUACUUACUUAAAUUCUUAUUUUGGGCUCAAUUAACUUGGGCCUUUGGCAUAUUUGUGUGUUGGUCCAUUUAUCCAUUUUCUUCCUUGUUUAUUCAAUUUGGUCCCAAAUGAGUACAUUAGUAUAGGUCCAAAUCUGGUCCAUAGCCAUAGGUCCAUUAAUUUGGUCCAAAUAGCUUAAGUAGGUGAUUCACCUACUAGCUUAAUUAAGUCAAGCAAGCACCUCAAUAUUUUAUUCCAUUUCCAUCUCCUAAUCCCUUUAGUCUAACCUUUAACUUAUACAUACUUGCUCACUUUAAAGUCUAGAUUCAAAUACUAGCUUACGAUCCCAAGUUUACAUAGUCAUAUCGACGUUAACUUGGUCGCAUCACAUUAAACUGUACGGGCAGCAUCUAUAAUUCCAUCUACACCAUUAAUACUUGUAUAAAAAAUCUCAUUUGUUACCUAUACCACAAGUCUGUACCAAGUUCCAUGUAAUUAGAACAAGUACAAGUAAAAUACGGGAUAUUACAUCCUUCCUCCCUUAGGAUCAUUCGUCCUCUAAUGUUAGCAUAACUAUCCAACCAAAACAAGUUCAAGCCUAAGUUUAAUAUCCCUAUUAUCACAUAGUACUUAUAUAUUAUACUUACUUGUUAGCUCUCUAAUUCAGCAUCUUGGACUUUCCCUUCGUAUUUGAACAAAUGGUGGUACUUAGAUUUCAUCGCUUCUUCAGCUUCCCAUGUUAUCUCUUCUACUUGUUGGUUCCUCCAAAGCACUUUUACAGAAGCUAUUUCUUUUUUCCUUAACUUCUUAACUUGUUGAUCUAGGAUAGCAAUAGGUAUUUCUUCAUAGGUAAAAUCUUCCGUAACUUGCACAUCUUUAGUAGGAGUGAUAUGAGAUGGAUCUCCCAUGCACUUUUGAAGCAUUGAGACAUGAAAUACUGGAUGAACUAUUGAGAUCUCUUGGGGUAUCGACUUGGAAAAACAUCCAAGUAAUCUUGUAUGGGCCUAUAUAACGUGGACUUAGUUUUACUUUCUUACCAAAUCUCAUAACCCCCUUCAUUCGUGACACCUUUAAGAAUACCCAAUCACCUAUAGCAAACUUUAACUCCUUCCUUCUAACAUCUGGAUAUGACUUAUGUCGACUUUGGGCUAUUUCUAGCCACUGUUAGAUCACUUUAACCUUUUACAUAGCUUGAUGAACAAGAUCUAGUUCGAAUAAUGUAGUUUCACCCGCUUCAAACCAUCCAAUUGGUGAUCUAUACUUUCUUCCAUACAAAGCUUCAUAUGGUGCCAUUUUGAUACUCGAAUGAUAACUAUUGUUGUAGGCAAACUCGAUGAGAGGUAAAUGAUCAUCCCAACUACUUUUAAAGUCUAAUACACAAGAUUGUAGCAUAUCUUCAAGUGUUUGAAUGGGACGUUCUGCUUUUCCAUCUGUUUGAGGGUGAAAAGUUGUACUUAGAUUCACUUGUAUUCCCAAAUUUCUUAAGAAAGACUUCCAAAAAUUUGUAGUAAAUUGAGCUCCUCGAUCUGAUAUAAUAGUGAUUGGAACUCUAUGCAGCUGAACUAUCUUUUUAAUACAUAAUUUGGCAUAUUCUUCAACUGAGUAAGUAGUCCUAAACGGUAGAAAGUGUGCUGAUUUGGUAAGCCUAUCAACUAUCACUCAUAUGGAAUCAAUCCUUCAAGAUGUAGGAGGAAAACCAGCGAUGAAAUCCAUGUUGAUCAUGUCCCACUUCCAGAUUGGAAGAUCUAUACAUUGUAUAUAACCCCCAGGCUUUUGGUGCUCUACUUUAACUCUUUGACAAUUUGGACAUUCGGCUACAAACUCUGCAAUGUUCUUCUUCAUGUCACCCCACCAAUAAAUCCCUUUCAAAUCAUGGAACAUUUUUGUUGACCCUGGAUAGAUGGAAUACCUUGAAUGAUAUGAUUCUGUCAUAAUCCUCUUUCUUAGCCCGUCUACAUUAGGCACACAUAAUCUAUUUUGGCACCGAGUACUCCCUCUUGCGUAAGCUCAAAUACCUUUUUCAUACCACAUUGUACAUUCUCCUUAAGCUGUAAUAGAAUGGGUUCUACAUAUUUCUUCUAUUUUACUUCAGCUACUAGUGAAGAUUCUACAGCAUUAUGUACAAUAAGCCCCUCAUCUGGAGUUUCAAGAAGGCGAACCCCCACAUUGGCUAGUUGGUGUAGAUCCUUGGUCAUCCCUUUUCAUUCUAUAGACUGCCCAUAAGUGACCACCAUAGACUUACGACUUAAUGCAUCAGCUGCCAUAUUUGUUUUUCCCGGAUGAUACAAGAUAUAACAUCAUAGUCUUUUAAUAACUCAGGCCAUCUCCGUUGCCUUAAAUUUAGGUACUUCUGAUUAAAGAUAUACUGUAAAAUCUUGUGAUCAGUAUAUAUGUCAACAUGAAUUCCAUACAAGUAGUAAUGCCAUAUCUUUAAGGAAAAUAUAACCUCUGUUAACUCCAGAUCAUGCGUUGGAUAAUUUUUCUCUUGUGGCUGUAAUUGUCUUGAGGCAUAUUCUAUGACUUUACCAUGAUCUAUCAAUACAUACCCUAAGCCAAUUCUUGAAGCAUCAAAAUACACUGCAUACCCUUCUAUGCCUUCUAGAAGUACCAAUACGGGUGUAUAAAUCAACUUAUUCUUCAGAUCUUGGAAAUUUCUUUCACAUGCAUCAUUCCAUUGGAACUAGGACUAUUUGUGUGUUAGCUUUGUUAAAGGUGCAGAAAUUGAAGAAAAUCCUUCAACAAACCUUCUAUAAUAACCUGCCAACCCAAGGAAACUACAAACCUCCAUAGGCAUUAUAGGCCUUGGCCAGUUCUUCACGACUUCUAUCUUUUGAGUAUCAACCUUUAUUCCUUCAUUAGAUACAAUACGACCUAAGAAUACCACAGAUUUUAACCAAAACUCACAUUUGGAGAACUUUGCAUAGAGCUUAUAAUCACGAAGAAUUUAUAACACUUAUCAUAAGUGACUGGCAUGUUCCUCAUUUGAUCUCGAAUAAACUAGAAUAUCAUCUAUAAAAACUAUCAUAAACACAUCCAAUAAUGGCUUGAAUACCCUAUUCAUCAAAUCCAUAAAAGCUGCAGGUGCCUUAGUUAGCCCAAAGGACAUGACUAAAAACACGUAAUGACCGUACCGUGUUUGAAAAGUUAUCUUGGGUAUGUCCUUCACUUUGACCCUUAUUUGGUGGUAACCAUACCUCAAAUCAAUCUUUAAAAACCACUUGGUUCCUUGUAACUGAUCAAAUAAGUCAUCGAUUCUCGGAAGGGGAUAUUUGUUCUUAAUAGUCACCUUGUUCAGUUGCCGAUAGUCAAUACACACUCUCAAUGAGCUAUCCUUCUUACGUACAAAUAACACUGGUGCACCCUAAGGGGUCACACUAGGCCUGAUGAAUCCUUUUUCUAAUAAUUCUUUCUAUUACUUUUUUAACUCCCGUAAUUAUGGCAGGGCCAUUCUAUACGAAGGAAUUGAAAUUGGUUGAGUACCUGAAAUCACAUUAAUACCAAACUCUAAUUCUCAUUCUGGAGGCAAACUUGGAAGAUCUUCAGGAAAUACAUCGAGAAAUUCAUUCACUACUGGAAUAAUUUGAAGAGUUGGUGGUUCCACAUCUGUAUUCUUCACCCUAACUAGAUGACAUAUGUAACCCUUGGAAAUAAUCCUUUUUGCCUUAAAAUAAGAAAUAAAUUUGCCUCUUGGUGCACCAAUAUUACCCCUCCAUUCAAGGAUUGCCUCUUUUAGGAAAUGGAAAUACACCUUCUUAGUUCAGCAAUCUACUAUGGCAUAACAAGAAGCUAACCAAUCCAUACCCAUUAUAGCAUCAAAAUCUACCAUUUCUAACUCAACCAGGUCAUUCAUUGUAUCACAACCGUAAAUAGUUAUUAUACCAUUUCAAUACACUCUCCAAGCUAGAAUAGAUUCACCAAUCGGCGUAGAUACUUCAAGUGUCUUAACUAGCAAUUCUGGUAUUUUUUUAACUUUCCAGCAACCAAUGGAGUUACAUAUGAUAAUGUAGGACCCGAAUCAACUAAUGCAGAUACAUCAUGUAAAAGAUGGAUAAUGUACCUAUAACCACAUCUGGAGAAGCCUCUAAAUUUUGUUGAUCUGCUAAAGCAUAUGUAUGAUUCUGAACUCCACUAGAGCUAGCUUCUCCUUUAGCACCUCUACCACAACCCAUAGGUUGUACACCUCUACCAGAAUAAGGCACCGAUGAUGAUGAUACAAUGGCUGAUCCAGUAUGCCAUACGACCUAUACCCCUUUAAGGGCAUUCUCUCAUCAUAUGUCAUAACGUACCAUGCCAAAAGUAAGCAUUUGUCCCAAACCGAUAUGCACCUAAAUAAAUCUUUCCACAUUGUUUACAUAGCGGCUGAGAAGGCCUUAAUUAGGUCAUACUCCCUUGCUCUUGAUACCCCACUGCUCGUGAACUUUGACUCUUACUUCUUUGCCCAAACUGGUUUCCUUUAGACCCUUGUAACUAUGGUAGAACACUAGCUGCAUAAUAAGAAGAUAAUGUCCUAUGCGCUCUAUUAGAAAAUCGAGGCCUAAACUCUUUUUGGGAUGCCAUAAACUGGUUCGUAGAUCUAGACCUCUUCGAAUACCCUCUUUCCAAUUCUUGUGUUCUUUUUCUUUGUCUAUGAUCCUCUAUUUUUUGUGCAAAUGCUUGUAUCCUUGCUAUGUCCAUGUCUUUGUUCAAAGCAGCAAUAGCACAAUCUCUAACUAGAUAUGGAUCUAAUAUAUCCAUAUAUCGAUGAACUCUAUCAUUCAUCGUAGCUACUACAUUAGGAGUAUACCUGGCCAAAGAGUUAAAAUGGAGGUUGUACUCCCUCACGCUCAUAUUCCCUUGGUGAAGAUUCAGUAACUGAUCUGCAAGGGCUUCUUAAAUCUCAAAUGGAAGGUAAUGAUCAAUAAAUGCCCCUUUGAACUCUUUCCAAGUAGCUGAAGGUGUAUCGAUACCCCUAGAUCAUUUAUAGUCUUCAUACCAAAAUAUAGCCUUCCCUUUGAAUCUAUAUGAUGCUAGCUCAACUGUCUCUUUACCUGACACUUGCAUGACAUCUAGAGCCCUUUGAAUUUGAUCAAUAAAGUCUUAUGGGUCUUCAUUAAGAUAUGAUCCAGUGAAUAUGGGAGGAUUCAAUUUAAGAAAAUCCUGCAUUCGUAGGCUAGCUGCCCUAUUUGCACCACUAGAACCUGUGGUUGGAAUGGCUUGUCCUUGAGCUUUUUCAGCAACUAUACAAGCCAAUAAUUGUACCGCAUUCGUUAGAUCUUGGUCAGUAGCAUUAAUAGGUAGUUUUGAGGAUACAGUUCUUCUCCUUCUUAGAUCUUCUGGAGAUGGAAGAGUAGAAGAAGUUUGGGAUUCAAACUCAGAUUGAGCCUCGUUUUGAUUAGCUUGUCUAGGUGGUGAAUUGCUAGUCCCUUCUCCGACAGCCACAUCUAUUCGCUUACCUACAUUCUUACUUCUUCUCAUAACCAGUAUCUUACUAUAAUAAGAGAAAAAAAAAUAGGUUCAAUGGUUAAAUAUGACUUCACCUACAACAUGGGCUCUAUUGCAUGAUCUGAGAUAUAAAGAAAAAGAGACAACCCCAAAAUAUACCAUAACCUCCUAUUUAUAGAUGUGGUGCACAACACACCCAUAAACAAGGCUCUAUAUAGAUGUGGCUUUGUAGGCACCCUAGGACGACCUACUCUGAUACCACUUUUGUCAUGCCUCAAAUCCUAUUGGAGCGGACAGGCACCCGUAGCCGUAAAGGCCCGAGAGAACCAAUUCAUAACCUUGUACUUCUCAUGUAUGUAACUAUGACAACCAAAGGUUCUGACAAAUAGGAUAUUAUGUAUCGAUAAGAAUAAUUACACAGGCAAGCAUAAACUUAUAUAUACAACACUUGGCCGUUGGGGCCACCACGUCUAAAGGCAAGACACUACCAUAACUUUACAUUAGUCUACAAAGCCACUAAAAUAUACAUAGACUUAGUUAGGGUCGGGAUAAACCACUGCCCUACUCUUUACUUACUGUAUAUAGAAAACACUUGGAGAGCCCCGGAUCAACCUGGAGCUCACCAAUAGUCACUGAAUAGCCUACGCUCCUACUAGUGAGGUGUAUGAGUUGAAGUACCUGUGCCUGCAGCAUAAAAUACAGGUCCCCUAUGAGGGACUUCAGUACGAAAAUAUGUAUUGAAUAUGUAAGGCUGAAGGUAACAACACAUGAUACAAGAGCUCAAUAGAAAUCAGAUACAAGUGUAUAAGUAGUACUAGUACACCACCUUUAUAUAUACUUGUGGGACUACAUAUAUUAGGUUCCUUUCUUCAUUUUUACCUUUCUUACUUCAUAAUCUUUGUAAGACAUAUAUAAUGCAAAUGACCAGCUGAUCAGUGAUAAAUAGAUAAAUUAGGAUCGGCCCAUGCUAGGCUAACACCCCUAAGCUGCCACCUACAUAUAAAGAUUGGGAUCAUCUCAUGCUAGGAUUAGCAUGGGCCAAUCUCGAUACCUUUAUUGGGGCCAACCCAUGCUAAGCUUAUGCCCCUGAGCUUCCACUCGUUUUAUAUAUUUACGCUGCUUAGUUUAUUUAGCCUUUGAUAUUGUUACUUUGGUGGUCAUAAUGUUAUGGUAUGUUGAACCAAUAAUCUGCUAAUAAGAGACAUAUAAAUGGACACUUAAUGCAACAACAAUGAGGUAGGGAGCUAUUGGCACACAAAUGAAAUGUUUAGGAGCUGAGUCUUAUUUGAACAAGCGGAGAACUCCUAAAAUUUUCUAGUGAAAAUAGACGUGCAGGUUUAAUAAUAAGUAUGUAUUGAGGUGUUUUAACAUGUUAAAGAGUGAAAAUAAGGUCAUUGGCUACAUGGAAUGUAAUGUGCUGCUAUUAUGUAUCACUUGUUAUAGGAUAACCUUGUAAGCUUACUUGAUAGAACAAAUGUCCGAUUUCAUGUCAAAGAGUGCAAAAUAGAGUAUGCCUUACAUACCUAGUUAUAUAACUCCGAAACUAACCCGACUUGACUUCCCACCUUUUAGAUUACUUAUCUAUAAUAGAAUAUAUGGUAAACUAGCACCAGCAACCAACUAACACAUUUAGGCUACUUAACUUCACUCAAAUAGUAACCAGGUAGUAAGCCAUUAAUCUAUCAAUCAAGGGUGUUAUUUUAACCCUUUUCUCCUCCAAUUAUACCCACAUACUAGACAGGUUCUUAUAAGACUCACCGAAACCACCUCGACUUCAUUACAUAUUCCAAACAAUACUCAAAACAGAUUGGGCAGUAAACAAAUACAACAAUUGGUUUGGUGGUGUACCAUCACACCUUUCUUCUAUAUUUCAUUACAAACUAAUCAUACCUUUCUCCAACAUCAAAAAAUACAUAAAAAAUAGUCCACAAAAUAUCCUCAAAUCCCUUUUAUUGUAGCAAUAAAUUAUUGAACCUAUCAUCUCUUGAGUUCUCAAUGACAACACAUCCAUAAUUCUCUUUCAAAUUUACAUACAAGGAGAACAAAAUGGAGUAGUCACCUUACCUCAAUUCUAUAACUUAUUCUUUUAAUUUGAACUCCUCAAAACUUCAACUUUCACUUUCCUUCACACUUUAAACCAAAUAAGAAAAAAGAUAUCUUAAUAACAAAGAAAAAGUGAGCAAGUAGGUUAUUCUAUAUUCUGCCAUGAAUUUAUAAUUAGGCACCUAUAUCAUGUUUUCCUAAUCUUUCGUGUGAUAAUAAAGUUAAACCAUAAGUGUUUUCACUUACCUUAGGCUGCAAAGGUGAAGGUUUCAUCAAGAACCCUAGAAGGAAUUCUAGGGCUGCUCCUUGUUGUUUUAUAGAGAGUAGAGAGAUUUUGUGAAAUAUACACAUUUUUGUGACUUAGAAAUAAAGUAAAAUGACCAGAAACUUGGCCUUAUAAAGGCCCUAUUUUGUCCACCUCCUUAGCUGCAUUUUGGACCUUAAAAUUGGUCAAAUUGGUCUAAUUAGGUGAUGCACCUACUUAAGGGUUCAAGCUGCUCAAAUUUUCAAAGUAAGUGAUGCACCUACUUACUUAAAUUCUUAUUUUGGGCUCAAUUAACUUGGGCCUUUGGCAUAUUUAUGUGUUGGGCCAUUUAUCCAUUCUCUUUCUCUUUUAUCAAUUUGGCCCCAAAUGAGUACAUUAGUAGAGGACAAAAUCUGUUCCAUAGCCAUGAGUUCAUUAAUUUGGUCUAAAUAGCUUAAGUAGGCAACUCACCUACUAGCUUAAUUAAGUCAAGCAAGUACCUCAAUAUUUUAUUCUAUUUCCAUCUUUUAAUCCCUUUAAUCUAACAUUCAACCUAUACAUACUUGGUCACUUUAAACUCUAGAUUCAAAUACUAGCUUACGAUCCCAAGUUUACAUAGUCGUAUCAAUGUUAACUUGGUCGAAUCAUAUCAAACUGUACGGGAAGCAGCUAUAAUUUCAUCUACACUAUUAACACUUGUAUAAUAAAUCUCAUUUGUUACCUAUACCAUAAGGCUAUACCAAGUUCCACAUAAUUAGAACAAGUACAAACAAAAUAUGGGAUGUUACAUCAGGAGUUGUAGAUCUCCUAUUGGUUGGUUUGAGGUAGGUGAGAGUUUUUUGAUAGGGCCAGAUUCAAUAUUUGAUACGAUGGAGAAAGUUUAGUUAAUCAGGGAGAGGCUUAAGAUAGCCCAAACCCGACAAAAAUCCUAUGCAGAUGUGAGGAGAAAAGAUCUUGAAUUUGAGGUUGGUGACCGGGUCUAUUUGAAAAUCUCUCCCAUGAAGGGAGUGAAAAGAUUUAGAAAAAGGGUGAAGCUUGGUCCCCGAUAUGUUGACCCUUACAGGAUCUUGAGUCGUUAUGGAAAGGUAGCGUAUGAGCUUCAGUUGCCUAUAGAUUUGGCAUCAGUACGUCUAGUGUUCUAUGUUUCCUUGUUGAAGAAGUGUAUUGGUGAUCCAGUUAUAGUAAUUCCUGUAGAAAGCACAGAUGUUUAGGAUAGCCUUUCUUAUGAAGAAAUCACUGUCGAGAUCCUAGAUCAACAAAUUUGCAGACUAAGGAAGAAAGAAGUUCCCUUGGUUAAAGUUCUUUGGCUGAAUCAGUCCAUUAAGGGAGCCACUUAGGAAACAGAAGCAGAUAUGCUAACUAAGUACCCUCGUUUUUCUCUGCAAACUUAUACUCAUCUUAAGGUAAUCGUUUUCCUUAGAUUAUAUCUUUUCCAUUCUUAUUUCCAUCUAUAAAACUAUCUUUAUGACAUUGCAUGCAUUCACGAAUUAGUUCAGUCAUGUACCAUAUUUCAGACUCAGUCAUGUGAUCAUGUUUUCAGUUAUUCUUGUACAGUGUUUGUUCUCAGUUUCCCCAGUAUUCACAGCUAAAUCAGUCUCAUUUAAGGAUGAAUUUUCCCAAGGGGAAGAUAUUAUAAUACCCCAUACUUUUCUUAGUUUAGUUUAGUUCAUAGUGCUUGCAUAAGAGGCUUAGAACUUGAAAAUUUCUCUAAGUAUUGAGGACUUAGUCUUAUUUUUGUACUCUUAACUUCAAAGAUUGUUAAACUGGCCUUCCCGACUCGAGACGUAAGUUUUUGAGUUAAUUCAAGUUUAGGGGUGUAAGAAGCACUCUCAGGGAAGUUUUAAAUUUUUUGGAUGAGAAUUGAGGCACGUUUGGAUUUCGAUUCCAGAACCUCACUGUGAUAGUGUCGCGUCGUGGUGGGUAUAGCGAUGAGCACAUCACCACAUAACGGUGCCCCUCUAAACAGCAUUCCAGUUACUAAUUUAAUCCCUGAGAGUCAAUCAUGUCUUUUCUCCACUGACCCAAUUCGUAAAAACAUGAGAUUAAACUUUAGUUAGGGCAUUAUUUGCCCUAAUUCACCAAAUUACUCUCCGAUACAAACCCCUCUCCUUCUCAAAGUUCAUCAAAUUCAAUCCUCUUCCUUCCAAGAAAACCAAGAAUAUGUGUUUCCCUAUCCAAGAACAUUCAAGAAACCUUUCAAGAUUGUGUUUCCCUUUCAAGUUUAAGGAUCUAAGGUAUGUAAGAUAUUCAUCUGUGCGCCCUUCUACCCAUGGAGUUCACGAAACUAUCUUUAUGAUCUAAAUUAUGAAAUUACAUGUUCAUGUUAAAUUAUCUCCAUAAAGUUUUAUGAAUUUUGGUUUACAUUAUGUUUACAAUUAUUUUUUGAGGGAAUUAGCCCUUACACGUUAGAAUAAUGAUAUUUUCAUGUUGAAUCCUUGAUUCAUGGUUUUUUUGUAUUGAAGUUGUGUUAUUAUUACAUGUUUUAAACCAUUCCCAUGCUUUAAUUCAUGACCCACAUUUGUUUGAUAAAAUGCCUAAGUGUUAAAUUUUGAACAAUGAUUCCCUUCUAUUGUUUCAAAGCUAUUAUGUAUUCCUAUUAUGAUUCCAUUGAGUCCUGGAGGGUUAUGAACACCUGUUACUUAGUUGUUUACAUGGUUUUUAGUAUUUUCAGAAUGGUUUCAGAUAAACCAUGAUCCUUGUCAUUCAGUUAGUAUCAUGUUCAGCUGUUGGCUCUGUUAAGCUCAGUUUAGUCCAGUAGUUAGUUUCAUUCAGUUAGGGAUAGGAUUCAGCAUCGAGUAAACCCAGGGAUGAGGGCAUUCCUUCCAGGUUAGGGUUUGACCUUUAGUAGAAAUUCCUAAGUUACAAAAAUACAUAGCCAGCGUAGGUUGAGAUGUCUUCCUGGAUGUUUAGGGUUCAUACAUAUCUCAUGAGUACUCCUGCCAGAUUAGGGUGACUCUUUAGUCCUUUAGGACACUAAUUUAGUGGAUCUACACAACUAUUGUUAGUAACCGUGGCACAGUACUGACACCCUUUUAACUAGGGUUAUAGGUUGGAUCUCGAUUAGCUCUGAUUAGGGAAAGUCAAUUAGAUGAUACCUCCCACAAUCUCAGUUUAGUAUUCAGUACAGAAUUCACUUAUAGGUUUUCUUGACCAUAGCAUACAUUUAUCAGUUAUUCAGUUAUCAUCUCCGAAUGUUGUAUCCCCAUGUGAUACAGAGGCCAGAGCUUCUUCUUCUUUUCCUAUAGUGACUAAGUGUUCAAGUGGUUCGUGUGUUGACUUUAUAGUGGUGAGCUUCCAUAUGGUGAGCUUCCAUACUUUGAAAGUCAUAUAUUUUAUGGUCUUUCUAUCUUAUGUCAUAGACUUGUUUUAGACUUAGUUUUUGGCUAUUGUUGGGGCAUGUCCCAGCAUAUUAUAGAUGUCAAAUUUGUAGACGCUUUGUGGAAGAUUAUGGGCUUGGGUAUGUUGGCUUAGUAUGUGACAUUAAUGGAUUAAUUAGACACUUCUUAAGUUAUGAUUAUUAGUUUUGUUUUUUCUAUCUUGUUAUAUGUUCGGAGUUUAUCUGAUACUUAUGGAAUAAUGAGAUGGUUGGGUUAGGUUAACGAGGGAAAUCUCUAAUCCUUGUUGGGCUUGAGAUGCCCAUUUCGACAUGGACCUAGUUUGGGCCGUGUCAAAUAGUAUCAAAGCCUAGGUUCAUAGUCAAGUUGGGUGUCCAUAAAGACAUGUCAAGUAGAGUCUCUUUUAUGGGUAUGUAGCAUGCCACACUUAUAAGAGAGAGGCUACAAGACAUUUAGGAAUAUUUUCCUUUCUUGUGGUUUUAUUUUGAGUAAUAUAAUCUAAGGUCUUGGAUCUUUCUAAUUUUUAUCUGCUUACCUUUUAGAUCAUGCCUCCAUAAAGAUCUAAUGUUUAGGCAAACCCUUCUAUCCGGACUGAGGAUAAUAUAGACGGAGCUCAUCCAACUUAUGGAGUCCAGACCCAGUCUAGAGGUCUGAUUCUUGAUAAUCCUGGAGUUCCACCGAUACCCUUUAGUCCUCUUCUAGUUCCUCAAGCUGAUGUAAUAAAUGUUGAGUUUCAUUAAUAGAUUCAUAUGAUUUCUCAGUUGGUGGCUUUUUAGGCUGAGUGUGUUGCAUCUAUUACUUCAUCUUUUGAGGCCAUAAACGUUGGCCAGUUCAUGAGGUUGAGUCCUCCGACCUUUACCGAUGUUAAGGUGGAGGAGGAUCCUCAAGGUUUUCUGGAUGAGAUAAAAAAGAUUUUUAAAGUUAUAAAUGCCACUAAUGUGGAAGGAGUGGAAUUUGCAACCUAUCAACUGAAGGAUAUGGUGUACCAAUGGUACGAAGAAUGGGAUCAGGAAAGGGGUGAUAUUGAUGAGUCAUCUUUAUGGAAGGAUUUCGCUGAUUCAUUUCUGGACCACUUUUUUCCUCAAGAGUUGAGGGAAACAAAGACGGAGGAGUUUAUUAAUUUGAGGCAAGGAAAGAUACCAGUCAAGGAGGGUGUCUUGGAGUUUCAUCAAUUAUCUUGGUAUGCUUUGUAGAUGGUUUCUAGAAUGUGGGCUAGAAGGCAUAAGUUUGCUUCGGGACUAUCUCGUGAGUUGGUCCUUGAGAGUAAGGUGGCUUUGUUGAUCAAAGAUAUGGACAUCUCAAGAUUGGUUAUGCAUAUGCAAUAAGUGAAGAAAGAUAAAAACAAAAAAGUUGAGAUUGAUGUGAGGUAAAGCAAGAGGUCUUAAUUUUUUAAACAAAGUGGAGGCCAAUAAUUUAGUGGUAAGUGGUCUAAGAGAAAGAAUUGGGUGAGUCCCAACUUAUAUUUUACAGCUAGUUCUUCCUACUCGAGGCCGUCAAAAGAUAGACGUUUUCAGAGUGGUAAUGAUUUUAGGGCACAAAGUACCAAGUCUCAGGAAAAUGGGCCAAAUAAGCACUAACCAACCCUCUUUUUAGGUUCUGUGGUGAGUAUCAUUAUGGACAGUGUGAGAAGGAGAGGAAUGGAUGUUUUAGAUAUGGUCAGAUUGGGCACAUAUAGCAAGAGUGCCCCUCUAUAGCGGCUUAUUAGGCUAAUAUGGCCCCUAUUGCUACUUCAUCUUCUCUCAUGCUGAAGGGUGUUGUAUCUGCUUCUGCUUCUAUUUUUCUUAUCGGCAUUAGCCGGAAUCAAUUAUAUACAUUUCCUACUCACUAGGAGUAUGAGGUAUCUCCAGAUGUUGUUACGGGUAUGUUGAAACUUUUCUCCCAUGAUGUGUAUUAUUUACUUAAUACAGGGUCCUCUCUCUCUCAUGUGACCUCAUUGUGGUUGUGCAUUUUGAUUUUGGUCAUGAGUAUCUAUCGGUUCCUUUUUUAUUUCUACCCCAGUAGGAGAUUCUGUGGUUGUUAAAAGAGUCUAUAGAGGGUGUGUGGUAUCUGUUAGUAGUAGAGAAACUCUUAUAGACUUAAUAGAGUUUGACAUGGUUGAUUUUGAUAUUAUUCUGGGGAUGGAUUAGUUGCAUUUAUGCUAUGCUUCCUUAGAUUUUUGGACUCGUAAGGUCAUGCUUAAAUUCCCUAAUGAGCCAUUCAUUGUAUGGGAAAGGGGUUCUUUAGUGCCUAAGGGGAGGUUCAUCUCACAUGUAAAAGCCCAAAAGUUGAUUUCAAAAGGUGUUUGUAUCAUUUGGUCAGAGUUAAAGAUUCUAACUCGGAAGGUCCUUCUCUAGAAUUCGGCCCUGUGGUUAAUGAGUAUCUCAAGGUUUUUCCUGAUGACCUUCUUGGUAUUUCUCCCGAUAGGGAAAUUGAUUUUGGGAUUGAUCUUGUUCUGAACACUCAUCCUAUUUCCAUCCCUUCAUAUAGAAUGGCUCCGAUCGAGUUGAAGGAGCUCAAGGAGCAAUCAAAGGAUCUCUUAGAUAAAGGUUUUCUCCAUCCUAAUAUGUCUCCUUGGGGUGCCCCCAUGUUGUUUGUGCGUAAAAAGGAUAGUUUCCUUUGAAUGUGCAUUUAUUAUAGUCAGUUAAAAAAAGUGACCAUAAAGAAUAAGUAUCCUCUUCCUAGGAUCGAUGAUUUGUUUGAUUAACUCCAAGGUGCAAAAUAUUUCUCUAAGAUUGAUCUUAGGUUGGGUUAUCAUCAGCUUAAGAUAAUAAAGGUGGAUAUCUCGAAGACUGCCUUUAGGACCUGAUAUGGUCACUAUGAAUUCCUACUAUGUCUUUUGGGUUGACCAAUGCCCCAAUGUCAUUCAUGGAUUUGAUGAAUAGGGUCUUUCGUCUAUUUCUGGAUUUAUUUGUCAUUGUCUUCAUUGAUGACAUCUUGGUCUACUUUAAAAGUGAGGCAGAUCAUGUUGAUCAUUAUCGUGUUAUGUUGUAAACCUUGAAGGAUUAUCAUUUGUAUGUCAAGUUCUCAAAGUGUGAGUUUUGGUUGAAGUCUGUGACUUUCCUUGGUAGUGUUAUCUCUAGUGAAGGGAUCAUGGUGGAUCCACAAAAGGUUGCGGUGGUGAAGAAAUGUCCUAGACCCACGACUCCAAUCAAUAUUCGAAGCUUCUUUGGUAUAGCCGGUUACUAUAGGAUAUUUGUGGAAAGUUUUUCAACUAUAGUUUCCCCAUUGACUAAGUUGACCCAAAAGAAGGUCAAGUUUUUAUGGGCGGAUACGUGUGAGAAUAGUUUUGAGAAGUUGAAGAAUAAAUUAACUUUGACUUCAGUUUUGAUCUUGCCCGAUGUUAAUGAUAGUUUUAGUGUAUUGUGAUGCUUCUUGUAUUAGGCUUAGUUGUGUAUUGAUGCAGCAUGGUAGGGUGGUGGCCUAUGCUUCUAGGCAAUUAAAAGUUCACGAGAAGAACUACCUCACUCAUGACUUAGAGUUAUUAGCCGUUGUAUUUGCAUUGAAGAUUUGGCGACACUACCUCGAUGGGGUUUAUGUUGACAUCUUUUCUGAUCAUAAGAUCCUUUAGUAUGUGUUUACUCAGAAGGAGUUGAAGCUCAAAAAAAUGAGAUGGCUUGAGUUACUAAAGGACUACGAUAUAAGUCUCCAUUACCAUCCAGGGAAAGAUAAAAUAGUUGUUGAUUCUCUUAAAAGGUUAUCCAUGGGGAUUUUAGCUCAUGUAGAUAAGGAUAAGCGGGAGUUGGUAAACGACAUUCACUGUUUAGCUAAUCUUGGAGUUCGUCUCACGGACUCUGAGGAUAGUGGUGUAUAUGUGCAUUAGGUAUCACAGUCAUCUUUUGUGGUUGAGAUAAAUGAAAAGAAAAUGUUAGAUCCCAAUUUGAUGAAGAUUAAGAUUAAUGUGGGUCAACAAAAGGUUGUUGAUUUUGCGAUUGGUGGUGAUAGUAUCUUGAGGUACCAAGGUAGGUUAUGUGUUCUCGAUGUCGAUGGAUUGAGGGAAUGGAUUAUGGCCAAGGCUUAUGGAUAUCGUUAUGUUAUUCAUCCUGGUUCUACGAAGAUGUAUCAUGAUUCUAUUAGUGGAAUAAUAUGAAACGAGAUAUGGCUAGCUUUUUGGCUAAACAUAUAGUGUGUCAACAAGUUAAAGUUGAACAGAUGUGACCCGGAGUUUUGUACCAAGAGAUUGAGUUUCUUGAAUAAAAGUGGGAGGUAAUCAAUAUGGAUUUCAUCACCAUUCUUCCCCGGUCUUAGAACCAACGUGAUUCUAUUUGGGUCAUUAUGGAUAGGAUGAUCAAGUCCGCUCACUUCUUAUCGGUGAGAACUAGUUAUAUGGUGGAUGAUUAUGCUAAGUUGUAUCUUGCAGAGAUUGUGAAGUUGCACGGUACUCUAAUUUCUAUCAUCUUGGAUCGUGGUACUCCUUUUUCAUCAUGGUGCUCUAGUUUCUAUCAUCUCGGAUCAUAGUACUCCAUUUUCAUCUCAUUUUUGGAGGUCAUUCCAGAAAGGUUUGGGGACUAAGGUGCGCUUUAGUUCCAUUUUCCACCCACAGAUGGAUGGACAAGCGAAGAUGGUCAUUCAAACAUUAGAGGAUAUGUUGCGUGCGUAUGUGAUUAAUUAUAAUGGUAGUCGGUAUGACUAUUUAACUUUGAUUGAAUUGGCCUAUCACAAUAGUAACCACUCUAGCAUUGGUAUGGCUCCUUUUGAGGUGUUGUAUAGUAGGAGGUGUCGUUCUCCUAUUGGGUGGUAUGAAGUUCGUGAGGGUAAGUUUCUUGGCCCUAAUUUGGUUCACCAAGCCUUGGAGAAGAUGAAGGUGAUUCGUGAUAGGUUGAAAGUUAUUCAAAGUCUCCAAAAGUCCUAUGCGAGUGUAAGUGUGAGUGUGAAACAUCUUGGCUUUGGUCCCUUAGAAAAUUGCAUAGUUGGAGAUCCUGGACAACAUACGACAAGAAGGUACUAGUCGUAUGUUUGGGUAUGGAUUAGGGUCCCUCUCUCGUAUGUUAGUCAGUGUGUUUGGGUUGGUUUGUAUCCAAGAUAUGACUAAGCAUCAUACUAGUCAUAUGGUUGGAUACAAGGUGUAUGAUGCCAAGUCGUAUGAUACCCAAAGUUUGGUCUAGGUGAUUCUGAUCAAGGUACGAUUCCCAUGGUACUUUUCGUAUGUGUUGACACCCAAUUUUGACCUCCAGACACUCCUUUUUAGGCUGCUAUUUUAUUUAAUUAUUAAUAUUUUUGUACACAUUAUUCUUAUAUUUAAUACAUUUUGACAUGUCACAUUCAUAAUUUUUAAAAAUACAUAAAUUAUUUUAUUAUCUUUUAGUAGCAUUUUUAUAAUUUUUUAACUCAAAUACGACAUUUUUAAACUGAGCAUAUCCGCAUUUUCUGCAAAUACAUUAUCUAGUCUUCCAUUAUUUGGCAUUAUAUAUUUUAUUUAGUAUUUAUUAAUUAUUAUUAUUAUUAUUAUUAUUUAUUAUUAUUAUUAUUAUUUAUCAUUUAUUAUUACUAUUAUAUAUUAUUUAUUAUUAUUAUUAUUAUUCCUAUUAUAUAUUUAAAUAAUAGCCUAAGUAAAGCCACUUUGCCUAAUUUAUUUACUUUUUAACCUAUUUUUUACCAAUUUCGUGCAAUCUUAGCCUAUUUUAUCUAACCUCUUGCAAUUUUAGCUUAUCUUAUUACAAUCUGAGCCUAAUUCCUUACAAUCCUAGUCACAUUCUCGCUCCACAUAAUCUUAAAUCCCAGUCGUCGAUAAAAAUUGAUCUAACGACUGAGAUUUGAUCUGACUCCUUCCCUUUUUUAAAACCAACAAAACCUAAACCAAAACACUAAUUCCCAAAAGAGCCACCCCCUCUCUCUCUACCUCUCGUCUCUCUCCAUUUUUUCCCUGAAAACCCUCCACCACGAGCGUCAUACCACCAAUGGAAACAACGAUAACGGCCAGUCUCCCUCUGUCCACUGCUCCUUUCCCUUUCCUCCCUCCUCUCCGGCGACCAACAGCCGCUCCAACCAGCUCCAGCCGGCGAAGACCCACCGAGAAGCCGCCUCCAUCCAUGGCUGCCGUCGCCCCUCCUUGAUCUCCGCGCCAUCCACGAUCGCCUCUCCGAUGAAUCUCCAAAUGCCACUGCUCCGACCAGCGCCGUGAACUAACCAUCCGGCGCCAGCUUUCUUCAUUCUCAAUAUCGCCACCACACUAGUCAUGCAGCCGAAAAAAUUGGCCAACCAGCACCAUAAACAAACGGUAGAAAACAAAAACAUUAUGACAAAACCCGUCUCGGAUUUAUUGUUCCUUUUAAUUUUUCUUCCUCUACCCUUUUUUUUCUUUGACUGGUUCUGUUAGGUUUAAAAAUGAUUAAGCUUGAGUAUGAAUUUUAAGUCAAAUCAUCCGAACUAGUGUAUGUUUAUGUGUUUAGAACGGUCAUAUGCAAAAAUCCCCAAAUUUCAUUGAUUUGAACUGACCCUAUAUUUCUUUAAGAUUGUGACUAAUUUGCUAUCCUAUUUGCUGGACUGAUAUGCUAAGUAUGAUAUUCCCCAAAUCUUCCCAUAUUGCGAGUCGUUAUUCAUGACUGUCCCGUGAGCUAACCCUCUUAUUUGAGCCUUAAUGAUUUUUGAGUUUGAUCCCUUUGAUUACUGCCUACUUAAGCAUUAUAGUGGGAUUUCAACAAAAUCAUUGGUAUUUGAUUGACAUGUUGGAUAACAUAUUUUGGGUAAACUCGGACCCCUCUUUUGACACGGUUUGAGUAGGGAGUAUUAUAAGUGCUCAUUGAAUUAAUAUUUAUGAUAAAUACCAACCUUGACAUAUUUUCUACUAUUAUUACUUAUUCCCUCUUAAAUUAGUGCUUUUCUUGUACUCACCUAUUCAUGAUAAAUUUGAUUUUAGUUGAUUUCUACCUACCUAACUAAAGAAAGUAUAUUCGUUGAUUGAUUUCUCUAAAAGCAUGCUUCUUUUAUUGUGGAAUUAUUUGUGAAUAGUUAGUUGAUUUAUUGGCCCCUUAAUGGACUCUGAUGAUUUAAAAAAAAUAGUUUUUUUCCUUUUACCCGUUUUCGACCCCCCAAUUAACUUGAUGUAACUCCCUCUUGUUCUCCUUGAUUAAAUGGGAUUGAUUUUUUAAUAUUGCUUUUUCUUAUUUUAAUUGGCUAAUUGGACCUUAACUGACAAUACCCUCUCACUAUAGAAACACCUAUUCUUUUCAAUUAAGAGACAGUUCACAAGUUCUACAAUACUAUAAUUAUAUUACUCUCUUAAAACAAAAAAAUCAUUGGCUAUUUCUAUACAAAAGCAAUUAGAUACUUUGAGGUUCCUUUGACUUUUCUUCGAGGCUUAUGGAAACAUCUUGUAUAUUUUGCUGUGCUUGGCGUUCUUUUAUUCUUAUUAUCACCUGUUAUUGCUGCUCACCGGUGAGUUUCAAAUCGAUGUAGUAUUUUUCAUUAUGUGAGUUGAUUAUAUCAUGCCAUGAAAAACAUAGAAAGCAUGUGUAUAGGGAUAAUUAGAAACGAUAAUGUUGUGCUUGCUUACUGUACCUUUGCUCCGAUGCCUGUGCUUUAUUCGUGCCUUUGUUUGGACAACAUGUUGGUAUAUCUCUUUGUGCUUGGCAUGCUACUUUGUUGUGUUUAACAGGUUUGGGACUUGAACAGUCGUCGGGAUGUUUAAAUGGGCAAUGUCAUUCUUUAGAAUUGGUGGUUAUUAUUUUAUGACUUUUCUUUUUAUUUACCUAUUUAUUUGGGUUUGUAAUAUUUCUGUAUAAACACUAUUAUUAUUGUAUAAUAAUUUUGGGUGACUGCCUUGGGGGCGGGGAUUUACGUGCUCUAUGAACAGUAUAGGUAGGCACAACUUAGGGUUAUGUGCAAUAUGUGUUACAUGAAUCAUUUAGGUACAAAAUUAGGAUUUAUUAACAUAUGAAUCAUUUUCUAUGGUUUAUUAAUUAUUCUCAAUCUAACUAAAAUCGACACACCAUAUUAAUUGAUAUUGAGCAUAUUAAUUUAACAUUAGGCAUGUUAACAUAUUUUAGCAUGUUAAGCAUAUUGACUUGAAUCUAAGUAUGUUAGUAUGAAUUCCGAGCACGUUAAUCCGUAGAUCAUGCUAACUUGAAAUUCCCAUGCAUUAACACACGUUUCAGCAUGUUUUAGAUAAUAAUUUUCUACAGUUUUAUCCAGUCAAGUAAGGGUCAAGUAAGUCAUUGCAUUUUUAGCAUGCCAAUACACUUCAACAUGUUAACUUGAUAGUUUUGACAUACUUUCAGCAUGUGUUAACAUUAAACAUGUAUUUUUAAAGGCAUUCAGCAUGUUAACAUUGAAUUUCAGCAUAUACAUUAAUGUCCAGCAUGUUAAAAUACUAAUUUUCUAAUUUUCAGCAUGCUUAAUAAUAUUUUCAAUAUGUUUAGUAAUAUUUCACCUGUUAAAACUAAAUUUCAGCAUGUUUAAUAUAAUUUUUAGUAUUUUAACACAACUUUCAACAUGUUAGCAUAAUUUCCUGCAUUAUCUUCAGCAUGUUAGCAUAAUUUCCUGCACUAUUUCACCAUAUUGGCAUAAUUUCCUGCACUACUUUUAGCACGUUAAAUGUAGAUUUGAGGCAUUCUCAACAUGUUAAACACUAGUUUAAGUACAUCAUUGCAUCAUGCAAUAGUUCAUAACACUCAAUUCAUGAGCACAAUCUCUUACACAUUUACCGCACUUUCACAUUCCUUUUUAAUCACUCACGAUACAUUAUUGCAUAUGCACGAAUCACAGUUGUCUUUUUUCACACUAAUGAUUGUUGGACACUUAGUAUCAUGACUAUAGGUUAACGAUAUAAUAAUAAUUACUUGUCUUCGCAUGUUGUCACAUUAAUUAAUAUUAAUUAAUCAAGAGGCUAACUUGGGAUUAUUAUGUGCUACUUGUUGUCCAAUUUAUUACGCGCUUCGAGUCCCAGGAAACCUAGCUUUAUUUUCGUCUAGAACACAAAUCCAAAAUAUCAAAGUCCAAUGCCUCUUGGACGAUAAAUGGGACGAUAAGUAUUGCUAAAAGACGUUAGUUUUAUCCUUGUCAUAGAACGCUCUUAGACAUGACAUCCAGACUAGGUGUGGUGGGACAGGUAGUCAUUCGAAAGUGAUCACCCCAAUGGAUAUUAACGGUGAGGCUAAUGACAUUAUUACUUGUCUAAGAGUUCGGCCCUUGGGUCGGAUGAUGAUUAAACAAAUUGGGGUUCUGAUCCAAAUGAGACCAAGACAUUUCUUUGUUUGACUUGGAUGAUUUUUUUUUAGUCUUUUUAUUUACUUUACAUGUUUAUUUUGGGGUAGUUUGUUAUUACAUAAGUAGUUCCCAUUAUUAUAAUUAUUUUCCUUCUUUCUUCUCACUUAUCUUAUUUAUAUAUUCUAUCACUUAGACGAUUAAUAGAUAAAAUAAACGUUUGUUAAUUACUUUAUCGCUUAGCUAAAUGUUAUAUUAUUAAUAAAAUAAGAGACUUUAUUUGAUCACAUAGAAUCCCCACAUAAAGUAUGAACUCGGCCGGGAACCAUCUUUGUGGACCUCGAAAGGUGCCUAACACCUUCCUUUUGAGGUAAUUUGAACCCUUACCCAAACUCUGGUGAACAAAAACUAAAUAAUAAAAUAGUUUCGUAGUAGCUUAAACCGGUGCCCUAACGCACCUUAAUACGUUAGGUGGGUCUCUUCACACUCUAUCUUUUAAACAAUCCCAAAAAAAAGUGGCCACGUUGAAUUCAAUUUUUCACGAGGAAAAUGGAGUGCGACAGAAUGGCGACUCUGCAGGGGAUAUUAGGUUCUAACCAUUAUGAAUUUUUCCUUUAUGUGGAAUUCUCUCUAUGUGUUUUUAUGUUUGUAUAAUAUUGUUUACUUUUGACAUGAUGAUUUAAUUUCAAUAUGUUCUCCUUUUAUUGUUUAUUUACAUCAUGUGUUAUUAGUCUCUUCCUGUUUUACCUUUUUAUGUGUAUUUCAUAUGACUCCAUUUCUAUUCCUUUACCUUUUUCCCCUGUUAUUGCGUAUGUUUUAUCAUGCUUAUUCAUUUGUAUAUUGCCUAGCAUGUCGUUUUUAUUAUGUGCAAUGUGUUACUGCAUUAUAUAACUGGCAUUCCGCUCAUACUAUCAUCCACUUGGAAACCUCUUUUAUUUUCUCUUUAAGAACGGUUGCGUGGUUGCACGGACGUUCUACCUUAAAACACCCUUAGGGAAGUGCCUUGUGGAUCGAUCGAUCAGCGGUGCAUUAACAGCCACAAGCUUUCCCCCUCUCAAGUUGUCCACUUGGGGAAACCGUGUUAAAACCACUCUUAUUCUUAAAACUUAACUGUUUAUCCCUUUACUAAGGAAUAAACAUUCUCAAAAACAUAAGAUGUCAUGUUAGAAAAUCUAGCCCUAAGUUCUAAGGGAUCCCACGAUACCGAAAAGAACGCCUCACUAUUUACGUGCAUUUUGAGAGAUAAUUAUGCUAAAAUAAUGUCAUUUACUCUUUGGGGGGGUAGGGUAGACUAACACUUUAUUUUGCAGAUUUAAUGGCCCUUCCAACCUCAUACCCGAGAUUUGGCAUGGUUUGGUGCAUGUCGCCUCACAUGAAACAUUGGUGGAUAGACUUGGGAUAUUAUGGAAAAAGUGUGGUAGAAAAGGCAUUGGGUAGUCUGCCCUCCCUCAUGAACAUCAAUCCUUGUAGAGAACUUAUUGAGGCUGCUACUGUAUUCUGGGAUAAAACGAGAUCAGUAUUCAGGUUUGGUGAUGUGGGAAUGACCCCACUUCUAGAAGAAAUUGGAGGAUACAUAGAAAACAAGAUGUUUCCAAAAUCAAUGAGAUGGCAACAGGCUGAGGUUAUCAUCCCCAAAAGUGUCACUCUAAAAGAAGCGAACAACAAAUUGGGUCUCCAUGGUAGUCGACUAGUAGCAUAUGUGAUGAGGUCAAAAAUGCCUUCUUGUUACUUGGCCAAUAGAUUCGCCUAUAAGAAAGGGAAAGAAAUAUAUGUAGCAGAAGGUUCUGACCCUGACUCUUGGGAAGAUAAACGAAAAUUUACAUUCAUCGUUUACUUCCUAGGAACAAUGGUCUUUCCAAUCAAAGCAAAAGAAGUAGUGCACACUCGUCUGAUCACCAUAGCAGAUGCCUUAUGCAAUGGGAUUAAAAAAAGGGUCUUGUACAAUUGUACCCAUGAUAGUGGCAAAUAUUUAUCGGUCCCUUGGAUGUUGCAAAAACGGCGCCAAACAUUUUGAAGGGUGCAUUUUGUUACUGCAGUUGUGGUUGAUUGAGCAUCUUCAGAAAAUCCAUGGGGUACAAAGCAUUCCUAGAUCAUUUGGAAUCGACAACAUCUUUUCCCAUGAUACCCGAGUCAUGUUGGGAGUAAAAAGGAUUAAGCGGCCAGACGAGUCAGAGAAGUGGGGACGAAUGUUGGGGACUUUGAUUGAGGAUUCCAUCCAAUGGAUGUUUGAAUGGUUCCCGAGCAUGAAUUUCGUGAUUUCUACUCAACAAUAGGAACCCUUGAUUCUAAUGGGACUUCAUGACCUGCAACCAUACUUUCCUAAUAGAGUAAUAAGACAAGUAGGGAAGCAACAAUCUAUUCCACGAGUUACUAACAUGGAGGCAUACAAAGUCGACUACAAAGAUGAUAAAAUUCCAAAUGGCAAUGACAUUGCUAAGACUUGGGGUAAAAAGACUCGUCUAGACAGGGAGAGCAUCGUACUAGAUCGAUGCAAUUUAGGCUAUACAGUAGGUUACAUUAAUUGGUUACAUGCUGAUUGGAAGAACAAAGUGACUCAGGGCAUCAAAAGGGGUAGACAUAUCAGUGACAAAGAGGCUGAAGUACAAACCCUCUACCGCAAGUUCAAGAAAAGGACUCUGGAAUAUGAAGCUUGCAACCGCCACAUUAUUGCAGAGAAUGCCAAAAAAAUUACCAACAUGGGGAAACAACUGGAAUUUUGGAAUCACCGUGCUCUGACAAUGGAAAGGAAAGUGCAAGAACUUCGAGAUGAAUUCGACAAGAAAGGGCAAGAGUGCGCCAAUAUGGGGAACAUAGGAGAGAAAGUGGAAUUAUCUUAUCUCUUUACAAGCCGCCACCGCUUUGACAAGGCCCUAGAAGAUGACAAGAAGGAGCAAGAAGAGAACAUAUUUAGGAUUUAGUUUAGCAUUUUUCUUGUAUUUUUUUUUCACAAUGUUAAAACAAUUUGAAUGAAAUAAAGUUUAUUUUCUUUUGGGGUUUUAUCUUUGAGCAAAUGGCAUUAUUCUAUGGCCUAAUUAUCUUUCAAACAAUGAUAGGCCUACCUCUGGCUUAAAAGAGGCUUCAUCAUAGGACACGUCAAACAAUGUGCUAUGUGUUAAUCUAGUUCAUUCUUUUAUCACUAACGUACUAAAUUCUUCUCCUUUGAUGUUUUGUUUCCCCUUCCUAUAGGUUGAUUUGUGCAAUCUGGCCUAUCUUACUAGAUCAAAAGGGGUUCCUCCUUCUCCUCCUCUUUUACCUACAAGUUCCAGAGGAUAAAAAAAAUGGGUGAUCGUCACAUCAUUGGAGAAAAAGAGGGUAUUAGUUCAGAAGGGGAUAGUAUCAUUGGUUAGAAAUAAAUGAUGAUGAAAAUGGAACAGAGAAUACUGGAAUUACAAGCAGAAUUGGUGCAAGUGUGCAACCUAGCUAAGCUUUCCAUCAACCUGAACACUCUGAAAUUAAAAGCUAAUAGCUUUGCCAUCCCAAAAUCCCAAGCUCCUUCCGACCAUCCAAUGCCUCAUAUCCAGCCCCAAAAUCUUACCAAUGUCCAAAAUAUCCAGAGUGCCACAGCUCUUUUAUUUAUUUCUACCUAAGAACCAAAAACUCCACUAAUCCUUCUCUGAAAAAGCCUCCACAUCUAAACAUAUACCACCACCCCGUAUCCGGAAGACAUAAUCUAAACCCCAUCUAUGUUGAAAUAUUUCCACUCAACUAUCCUCAACCCAUAUUCGAGAACCUAGAGAAUGAUUAUAUGAUGCAGGCUGUAGUUGAAAGGUUGAAACAUUUGGAAGGAAACAAGGGUAUGAAGGGUCUUAAUUAUGAAAACUUGUGCGUCUACCCAGAUGUAGAGCUGCUAGAGAGGUACAAACCUCCCAAGUUUGAAUUAUACAAUAAAACUGGAGAUGCUAAAGUGCAUCUGCGUGUGUACUGUGACAAACUUGCGGGUGUAGGAAAGAAUGAGAAAAUUCGGAUGAAACUAUUUAUGAGAAGCCUCACGAGGAAGGCUCUCACAUGGUACAUUGAGCAGGAUGUAAAGAAAUGGGCAGGCUGGAUUGACCUGGCGUCUAGCUUCGUCAAUCGCUUUGGGUACAAUAUUGAUAAUGCUCUGAGUUGGACUUAUAUGCAGGAGAUAAGGAAGAAGCCUAAUGAAUCCUUCUGUGGGUACGCCAUGAGAUAGAGGGCCGAGGCUGCGAGAGCUCAGCCUCCAAUUGAGUAGCAACAAAUGAAGGAAUAUUUUGUCAAGGAGCAAAAGCCAAAGUACCUCGACAAGCUAAUAACAGGCACAAAAAAAAGUUUCUCCAAAAUCAUCAGAAUAGGAGAAAUGUUCAAUGAGUGUCUUAAGAAUGGUAGCAUUAUCCGCUUAAACACUCAAUCUACAAGAGUAACGGAAAAUAAGAAGAAGAAGGAGAUAGGAUCAGUAAUGGCAGCCCAACCUUCUGAUAUUGUCCCAAGCCAUGAAUACCAUAAACACCAUAUACGACCUCCUCCUACCCACCAUAACCUCGAAUUCUAUAUCAAGCCCCACUAUAUCAAAUGCUUUUUCCUUACCAAAUGCCUCCACAAUUCUCAAGUCCCCAUUAUCUCGUAUAUAAUACCCAACCCAUCCAAGUCCAAACAACCCGACCUACUCAUACUCCUACUGCAAAGACUGUUGAUCCUAAAUCCAAAGGCAUCUUUGAAAGAAGGCAGUAUACGCCUUUAGCCAAACCCCUGGUUUAAUUAUAUGAAUGACUCAAAAAAGCUAGCCAUAUUGCACCGAUUCUCGCCAUGUAAGCUGAUACCAAAUCUACGUGGUAUCAACAUAAUUAGACAUGUGCCUACCACCCUGGCAUAAGAAAACAUCCUAUAGAGGCGUGUUUUACCUUGAAAAAUAAAAUUCAACAACUGAUCGAUACCAAGGUAAUUCAGUUAAAAGACCCAGAUCCCAACAUCACAAUAAUUCUCUCUCUGCUCAUGAGGUAAAUAUGCUCGAGACUGAUGAAAAUGUAGACUUAGAGCAUUCUAUCUGGGCUAUUGAGGAAGGAAACAGAACUCCUACCAUAGUACGGAAGCAGGCUCCCUUUGAGGUCAAGGUUGUCAUGCCUAAAGCCCCCUUCACUAUUGUGAGAGCUACCCCAGCUGUAUGCAAUUCUCAUGCAGUUCCAUGGAAUUAUGCCCUAAACAUUCCAAGGAAAGCAAAGGUAGCCGAGACAGACAUUGCGCAAGGUAUCCCCAGAUCAGGCAUAAUAUACACUCUUGAAAACCUGCUUCAAAGAAGUUCUAGCAAAGGAAAGCAACCUGCCAUCGGGGUUGAAGAAGAUGGUAUCUGGAAGAAGGUAAAAGCCAAAAAGUAUUCUGUGGCCGAGGAGCUGAGUAAGACUCCGACAUAAAUUUCAAUAUUGACAUUGCUCCAGACUUCUGAGAAUUACCAAAGGGCUUUGAUGAGGGUCUUAGGUGAAGCUUAUGUACUGGCUACCAUAACAGGCAGAGAGAUGGCCCAUAUGGUAGGGCAAGUGUUCGAGGCUUAUGAAAUAUCAUUUCAUGAUGAUAAAUUACCUUCCGAAGGAAGAGCACACAAUCGGGCUCUAUAUAUCACACUGCAGUAUGAGGGGAGAAUGAUAUCCCAUAUGCUGAUUGAUCUAGGCUCGGGAUUAAAUAUUUUCCCUUUAAAUACGUUAACCAAAUUGGAGGUCGAUAUGUCCAAGGUGCAGACUUGGAAACUGAACGUGAAGGGGUUUGAUGGCUCCCAAAGGGGCACAAUAGGGGAAAUCACAUUGGACAUAGUGAUGGGUACAGUCCCUUUCUCUAUACCCUUCCAAGUAAUGGAUAUCCCUACCUCUUAAAACUUGUUGCUCGGACGUUUGUGGCUUCAUGCGACUAGCGUCGUAUCCUCUACCCUUUAUCUAUGCCUUAAGUUUGAAUAUGACCACCAAGAGGUUGUGAUACAUAAAGAGAAAGGGCAUCCUAUAUAUGUCGUUGAAGAAAAAGAAGACCUUGACGGAGAAAUAUUUCAUACCCUUGAGUUGGUGGGGAGCAUUGAAGGAGGGUCGUACAAUGAUGCAUUGUUUGUCACCGUAUAAUGUGAAGGAAGGGAAAUUUCAUGCCUACUGAUUGAUCCAGGUUUUGGGGUAAACAUUUUUCCUCUGGCUACCUUGAUGAGUUUUGAAAUUGACAUGGCCAGAAUCCAAUCCCGAGUAAGGGUCAUAAGGGCAUAUGAUGUCUCUCGGUGAAACACUAUUAGGGAAAUCAUGCUGAAUAUCACACUGGGCCCCGCCACAUUCUCCAUACUCUUUCAGGUGAUGGAUAUUCCCAUCUUAUACAAUUUUUUGCUUGGGUAACCUUGGAUCCACAUGCCUGGUGCAGUCCCAUCCACCUUACACCGAUAUGUUCAAAUUGAGUACUUUUAACAAGAGGUAUUGAUAUGGGGUGAAGGAGGAAAAGGAGGGCUCAACGCUUUGUAAUGGAUCGAGAAUAUUGAAUAAGAUACAAUAAGUUGUAUGCAAUUUCAGAAACCCCUGAACGCUUUGGAUUACAUGCGUUGGUUUGGAUACGAAGAGGACAAAGUUCUUCAUACCAGAUUGCAAUGACUAAUUGAUCCUUUAGUGUUUGAAGAAAAGGAAUACAAUUGUGGGCUGGGCUAUGCGGUUAAUGAAGAGGCAGACAAAGGCGGAAAUGUACCUGACCCUGCAUUAUCAUUGUACCAAAUCUUUCAUUCAAUAGGAUUUCUCAAAAAUGAUGAAGUUAAUGAAAUAAUAGAGAUGCUAAAAAGGCUCACUCUGCCUGAGGACAUCACCUUUCUUAUGAAGACCAAGAUGAGUUUGAAACCGAGGAGGCAGACAUGAUUGAGAAUAAAAUCGUAGAGGUAGACAUGACUUGGAUGGACAUAGGUGGAAAGUUGCUGAAAAGGUAUGAGCCAGGUAAAGGUUUGGGGGCAAAACUGCAAGGAAUUAUUGAGCCCAUACAGGUGCAUCUUAAGAUGGAAACCUUCGGUCUGGGGUACCAAUGCACAAUGAAAGAUCACCUCGACUGGGAGCCAUCUAUGAAGGGCUACUACUACCCUCUACCCAAGCCUCUACCUGCACUACAUGAGAUAUUCCAUUCUACUGGUUUUCUGAAUAAUGACGAAGAAGAUAUUUUGGAAAGUUUAAGGCUUUUUUCUGACCGAGGAAGACGGUUGCCAUAUUAUUAUUAGUAAGGAAGGAGGAGCCCCUAGCCCGAUCCAUGAACAAAAAGUCGCCGUCAGUAGCUGGACAGUCACCCUCUCCAGCCCCGCCGAGCACUUGGGUAGACAUAAUAGAAGUUUGAAUGUUUAUUUUUGCAUUUCUCAUCUAAACUUGAUUAGUCGACACGAUUUUGAGGUUUUGGUUUAUUUAUUUUUCAUUUCAACAUUAUGUUUCAAGACGUUCACACUAUUAAAAAAUUUUCUAUUGAUUAUUAACGUUCUCUAUUUAUCUUUUCUUUCAGCAAAAUCACAUUUAAAACUGUUGAAUCUGAGACUGUGACAUCUAAUGAGACAAUACAACAUAACAUAAGGGAAUUAGAAGAUACAGAAGAAUAUGAUAUCCCCCAGGAAUUUACCAGUAGGGUUGAAGACUUUGAAGACAAACCUAAGGCAAACCACACAGAGUCAAAAAUAGUGAACAUAGGGUUUUUUGAGGACGUAAAAAAACCCACGUCGGCAUUCAUUUGUCUAAAGAAGAGAAAGAGGAAUAUAUCCAGUUCCUAAAAAAGCAUUCAGAUGUCUUUGCUUGGUCCUAUGAUGAUAUGACAGGACUAAGCACUUUAAUAGUGGCUCACAGACUACCUACUGACCCAUCCUAUCCGCCUGUCAAAUAGAAACUCAGAAAGUACAAGCCUGAUUUGAGUUUGAAAAUCAAAGAGGAGAUAUCAAAGUAAAUUGAAGCUGGUAUUCGACAAUAUCAAAGAUUAUCUGACAAACCCUCCUAUUUUGGUUCCUCUCAAACUUGGUAGGCUACUAUUAUUGUACUUAUCUGUGACAGACAAUGCCUUCGGAUGCAUUUUGGGACAGCAUGAUGAGACAGGCAAGAAAGAACAGGGAAUCUAUUACAUGAGUAUAAAGUUCACUUCUUACGAAGCUCAGUAUUUUCUACUGGAAUGUACCUACUGUGCUUUGACUUAGGUAGUUCAAAAGUUAAAGCAUUAUCUCUCAGCACAUACUACUUAUCUGAUCUCCAGAAUAGAUCUACUGAAAUACAUCUUCCAGAAGCUGAUGCCUACCAAAAAGUUGGCCAAAUGGCAGAUACUGUUGAGUGAAUUUGACAGUCUAUGUCACACAAAAGGUGGUAAAAUCACAAGCGCUAGCAGAUCAUCUGACUGAGAAUCCUGUAGAUGACGAAUACCAACCGCUGAAGACUUACUUCCCUGAUGAGGAAGUGACAUUCGUAGAAGAGGAUAUCUCUGAAGAAUAUAACAGUUGGAAACUAUUCGUUGACGGAGCUGUAAAUUUCAAAGGAUUCAGAAUUGGUGUUGUUGUGAUCUCAAAAACCAGCCAACACUAUCCUGUGUCGGCCAAGAUCAGGUUUCCUUACACUAAUAAUAUGGACAAAUAUGAAGCUUAUACCCUGGGGCUUUUCUUGGACAUCGACUUGAAUAUCCAAGAGAUACUGGUGAUUGGAGAUUCAGACUUAUUGAUUCAUCAAGCACGAGGUAAGUGGGCUAUCAAGAACAUAAAGCUCCUACCCUAUCUGGAGUGCGUACAAGAAAUGUGCAAGAAGUUCCACAAAAUAGAGUUCAAACACAUCCCGAGGAUUCAGAAUGAGUUUACAGAUGCAUUAGCUACUCUGUCAUCCAUGAUCCAACAUCCAGACAAAAUUGCAUUGAUCCUAUUCCCAUUCACGUGCAUGAGCAGCCUGCACAUUGCUUUCAUAUUGAAGAGAAACCAAGCGGAAAACCAUGGUAUGCAGAUAUACAGAGGUAUUUGAAAGGUGGAGACUAUCUUGAGAAUACGACAAGCGUUCAAAAAUGAACCAUUCGGAGGCUAGCCAACUAAUUUUUCCUAAAUGAGGAAAUCCUGUACAGGAGGACCCCUGAUUUGGGUUUGCUAAAAUAUGUCGAGGUCAAAAAGGCAUCCAAGUUGAUUGAAGAGGUACAUGCUGGAACAUGCGAUCCACAUAUGAACGGCUUCAUAUUGACGAAAAGGAUAUUAAGAUUGGGCUAAUUCUGGAUCACCAUGGAAAAUGAUCACAUCCACUACGUGGAAAAAUACCACCAGUGUCAAACUCAUGCUGAUAUGAUCCGAGUUCCUCCCAACGAGCUUCACGUCACCAGCUCUCCUUGGCCCUUCGCAGCUUAGGUCAUGGACAUUAUUAGUCCGUCCCAUUGAGCCAGUCGCGUCCAAUGGUCACAGGUUGAUCCUUGUCGCAAUUGACUACUUUACUAAGUAGGUAGAAGCCACCUCUCACAAAUCAGUCAUAAAGAAGGUCAUUGACGACUUCAUUCAAAAUAACAUCAUUUGCCGAUUCGGAAUUCCCGAAUCUAUUAUUACUAAUAAUGGUUCCAACCUCAACAGUGACCUAAUUAAAGCAACAUGUGAGAAAUUCAAGAUCAAGCACCGAAAUUCCACAGUCUACAGACCACAAAUGAAUAGAGCGGUCGAGGCCAAAAAUAAGAAUAUCAAGAAGAUCCUGCGCAAGAUGAUUGACAACAGUCGACAGUGGCAUGAAAAGCUACCUUUCGCAUUAUUGGGGUACCGUACUACAAUCAGAACAUCCACAGGCACUACGCCCUACUUUCUAGUCUAUGGAAAUGAAGCAGUGAUACCGGAUAAGGUCAAAAUACCAUCUUUGAGAAUCAUCCAAGAAGCAGAAUUGAGUGACGCUGAAUGGAUACAAAACAGAUUCGAACAACUGGCACUCAUUGACGGAAGAUGAAUAAAUGCAGUUUGCCAUGGUCAACUCUAUCAGAACAGAAUGGCCAAAGAUUUCAACAAAAAGAUUAGGCUGAGACACUUCAUACCUGGACAGCUAGUUCUGAAGCAAAUUUUUUCACACCAAGAUGAAGCAAAGGGAAAAUUCUUGCCUAAUUUGAUAUGCCCUUACGUGGUUCAUCGAGUCCUGAUAGGAGGAGCACUCAUACUGGCAGAAAUGGAUAGCGUAGUUUGGUCUAAGCCCAUCAAUUCAGACGUUGUUAAGAUAUAUUAUGUUUAAUUUUAUCUUUACGUCCCUCGAAUUAUAAUUGGAACUAUGUUCGACCAGAUUCCCAUUUAAGAAGGAUAUGUAGGCGCUCAUGUGGAGUUCGGUCACUUCAUAAUAAAACUUUUUCUUCCCCUCUCUUGGAAUACUAUAACUAGGACAGAAUUUUUUAGAGAACCUUAAAAAUUCUAUAUGAGCAUGAUAUCGGCAUAAAUUACGAACUGGGACAGAAUUUUUUAGACGACCUCAAAAAUUUCUAUAAGCAGAUUUUGGAAUACUUACAACGAGUUAGUUCUACACUGGUCAGAAAUUUUUGAGUGAUCCUUAAAAGUUUCUUAACAAAAGAACAAGGAUCUGUAAGAUAUUGUACCAUCUCAGGACAAGUCACAAUCAACAAUUCAACAAAGUUUUCAUGUUUAUUCUAACGGAUUUUACUUAUUACUUUCAAAAGACAAUUUUUCUUUUCAAAAAUGAUUUUUCUUUUAAAAUGUCUAUUUACUAUCUGUCUACCCGAGUGAAGGCCCGGACAAAACUCAUCAAGAAGACGACGACAUCAAGAGGAUACUUCAGCUAAGGCGGAAGCACAAAUCAACCUUCCCUUUUUACAAACUCAUGAUUUUUCUUUGAGUACAGGACUAAUAGGUGCAGUUAACAAGAAUCACUCCAUAACAAAGAGCCCAACGGCCAACAUCAUGACGAGAGGAUCAACAGUUGAUCGAACAAUACAACAGAUACGUUUUCUUUCUCACUUAACUUUAUAUACAUUCGUGCUAACCAUUUUUAAUAAGUACAGGUUACUCCAUGCCAAGAAGCCAAACAACUGAUCCGAUAUCAAGAGUUUCAAUAGCCGAUCCAAUAUUAUAUCGAGAAGCCAAACAGCUGAUCCAACAUCGAGAGGUUCAACAGCCGAUCCGAUAUUAUAUCGAGAAGCCAAACAACUGAUCCAAUAUUGAGAGGUUCAACAACCAAUCCAACAUUAUAUCGAGAAGCCAAAUAUCUGAUCCAACAUCAAGAGGUUCAACAAUCGAUCUAACGUCGAAUCGGGAAGCCAAACAACUAUUCUAAUAUCGAAAGGUUCAACAGCUAAUCCAACGUCAUAUCGAGAAGCCAAAUAGCUGAUUCAACAUCAAGAGUUUCAAUAGCCGAUCCAACGUCAUAUUGAGAGGCCAAACAGUUGAUCCAACGCUAAGAUCCAAUGUCAUCUAACAGUACAAAAGAUACGCUUUCCUUACUUCUUACAUUUAUUUCAUGUUUUUAAAUGCUUAUAAUUUACAUGACUUAACCCUGGUUAUCAAGUAUACUAUAAAGUAUGCAAGCGACGGAAAGGGAGUAACAAGAAGAGAUAAUUUUUGGUUUUGUUUUCAGAAUAUUACCCUAUCUAUUCAUUCAUAACCUAAACUCAUUCUAAAACUCACAUUUCAUUCAUAACCUAAACUCAUUCUAAAACUCACAUACCUUAACAUUUUCACUACUCCAUACAUCAUCACUCAAAAUCCUACUCAUAACCGUCUCAUUGACCCAUGAUACCAUUAUUAAUGCCCCUAUCCUUUAUCGUUAACAUUCUUUAGGAAUAUUGUUCAUUCCUAAAUCUAGAACUACAAAUGGCCUGAUUCUCAUAAAAUAGAGAUAUAUAAGCGACUUAAAACCGAAGUCAAGGACACACUAUUUUUUAACCACCGCCUAUCGCUUAACUCCAAUGAAUCAUCCUCGGUCAGACAAAAUUGGCUACUAUGUUAAUUUUCACUGCUUGAUAAUUCUUUUAUCAUUCCCAAGCAACGAAGGGGCAGUUGUUGACACCCAAUUUUGACCUCCUGACACUCCUUUUUGGGCUGCUAUUUUAUUUAAUUAUUAAUAUUUUUGUGCACAUUAUUCUUAUAUUUAAUACAUUUUGACAUGUCACAUUCAUAAUUUAGGAAAGUGCAUAAAUUAUUUUAUUAACUUUUAGUACCAUUUUUAUAAUUUUUUAACUCAAAUAAGACAUUUUUAAACUGAGCAUAUCCACAUUUUUUGUAAAUACAUUAUCUAGUCUUCCAUUAUUUAGCAUUAUUUAUUUUAUUUAGUAUUUUAUUAAUUAUUAUAAUUAUUUAUUAUUAUUAUUUAUCAUUUAUUAUUAUUACUAUAUAUUAUUUAUUAUUAUUAUUCCUAUUAUAUAUUUAAAUAAUACCCUAAUUAAAGUCACUUUGCCUAAUUUAUUUACCUUUUAAUCCAUUUUUGGCCAAUUUCGUGCCAUCUUAGCCCAUUUUAUCUAACCUCUUGCAAUUUUAGCCUAUCAUAUUACAAUCUGAGCCUAAUUCCUUACGAUCCUAGCCACAUUCUCGCUCCACAUAAUCUUAAAUCCCAGCCGUCGAUCAAAAUUGAUCUAACGGCUGAGAUUUGAUUUGACUCCUUCCCUUUUUUAAAACCAACAAAACCUAAACCUAAAUACUAAUUCCGAAAAGAGCCACCCCCUCUCUCUCUACCUCUCGUCUCUCUCUAUCUUUUCCCUGAAAACCCUCCACCACGAGCGUCACACCACCAAUGAAAACAACAAGGACCGCCAGCCUCCCUACGUUCACCGCUUCUUUCUCUUCCCCAUUCUCUUCGGUGACCAACAGUCGCUCCAACCAGCUCCAGCCAGCGAAGACCUACCGAGAUGUCUCCUCCAACCAUGGUUGUCGUAUCCUCUCCUUGAUCUCCCUGCCAUCCACGAUCGUCUCUCUAAUGAAGCUCCAAAUACCACUGCUCCGACCAGCGCCACGAACCAACCAUUUGCCACAAGCUUCCUUUGUUUUCAAUGCCGCUGCCACACCAAUCAUGCAGCCGAAAAAAUCGUACAACCAGCACCAUCAACAAACGGCAGGAAACAAAAACAUUGUGACAAAACUCAUCUCAGGUUUAUUAUUCCUUUUAAUUUUUCUUCCUCUACCCUUUUCUUUCUUUGACUGAUUUUGUUAGGUUUAAAAUUGAUUAAGAUUGAUUAUAAAUUUUAAGUAAAAUCAUCAGAACUAGUGUAUGUUUAUGUGUUUAGAACGAUGAUAUGCAAAAAUCCCCAAAUUUUACUGAUUUGAACUGACCCUAUAUUUCUUUAAGAUUGUGACUAAUUUGCUAUACUGUUUGCUGGACUGAUAUGCUAAGUAUGAUAUUCCCCAAAGUUUCCCAUAUUGUGAGUCAUUAUUCAUGACUGUCCCACGAGCUAACCCUCUUAUUUAAGCCUUAAUGAUUUUUGAGUUUGAUCCCUUUGAUUACUGCCUACUUUAGCAUUAGAGUGGGAUUUCAGCAAAAUUAUUGGUAUUUGAUUGAUAUGUUGGGUAACAUAUUUUGGAUAAACUCGGACCCCUCUUUUGACACGAUUUGAGUAGGGAGUAUUUUAAAUUAUCAUUGAAUUUAUAUUUAUAGUAAAUACCAAUAUUGACAUGUUUUCUACUGUUAUUACUUAUUCUCGCUUAAAUUAGUGCUUUUCUUGUACUCACCUAUUCAUGGUAAAUUUGAUUUUAGUUGAUUUCUACCUACCUAAGGAAAGUAUUUUUGUUGAUUGAUUUCUCUAAAAGCAUGCUACUUUUAUUGUGGACUGAUUUGUGAAUAAUUAGUUGAUUUAUUGGCCCCUUAAUGGACUCUGAUGAUUUUAAAAAAAUAUUCCUUUUUCUUUGACCCGUUUUCGACCCCCCAAUUAACUUGAUGUAAUUCUCUCUUGUUCUCCUUGAUUAAAUGGGAUUGAUUUCUUAAUAUUGCUUUUUCUUUUUCGAAUUGGCUAAUUGGACCUUAACUCACAAUACCCUCUCACUAUAGAAACACCUAUUCUUUUCAAUUAAGAGACAGUUCACAAGUUCUACAAUACUACAAUUCUAUUAAUCUCUUAAAAUAAAAAAUCACUGGCUAUUUCUAUACAAAAGCAAUUAGAUACUUUGAGGUUCCUUCGACUUUUCUUCGAGGCUUACGGAAAAAUCUUGCAUAUUUUGUUGUGCUUGGCUUUCUUUUAUUCUUAUUAUCACCUGUUAUUGCUGCUCACCAGUGAGUUUCAAAUUGAUGUAGUAUUUUUCAUUAUGUGAGUUGAUUAUAUCAUGCCAUGGAUAACAUAGAAAGCAUGUCUAUAGGGAUAAUAAGAAAUGAUAAUGCUGUGCUUGCUUAUUAUACCUUUGCUCCGAUGCCUGUGCUUUCUUUGUGCUUUUGUUUGGACAACAUGUUGGUAUAUCUCUUUGUGCUUGCCAUGCUACUUUGUUGUGUUCAACAGAUUUGGGACUUGAAGAGUCAUCGGGAUGUUUAAAUGGGCAAUGUCAUUCUUUAGAAUUAGUAGUUAUUAUUUUAUGUCUUUUCUUUUUAUUUACCUAUUUAUUUGGGUUUGUAAUAUUUCUGUAUAAACACUAUUAUUAUUGUAUAAUAAUUUUGGGUGACUGCCUUGGGGGGGCGGGGAUUUACGUGCUCUAUGAACGGUAUAGGUAGGCACAACUUAGGGUUAUGUGCAAUACGUGUUACAUGAAUCAUUUAGGCACAAAAUUAGGAUUUAUUAACAUAUGAAUCAUUUUUUACUAUUUAUUAAUUAUUCUCGAUCUAACUAAAAUCGACACACCAUAUUAAUUGAUAUUGAGCAUAUUAAUUUAACAUUAGGAAUGUUAACGUAUUUUAGCAUGUUAAGCAUAUUGACUUGAAUCUAAGUAUGUUAGUAUGAAUUCUGAGCACUUUAAUCCGUAGAUCAUGCUAACUUGAAAUUUUCAUGCAUUAACACACGUUUCAGCAUGUUUUAAAUAAUAAUUUUCUACACUUUUAGCCCGUCAAGUAAGGGUCAAGUAAGUCAUUGCAUUUUUAGUAUGUCAAUACACUUCAACAUGUUAACAUGAUAGUUUUGACAUAUUUUCAGCAUGUAUUAACAUUAAACAUGUAUUUUUAAACGCAUUCAGCAUAUUAACAUUGAAUUUCAGCAUAUACAUUAAUGUCCAUCAUGUUAAAAUACUAAUUUUCUAAUUUUCAGCAUGCUUAAUAAUAUUUUUAGCAUGUUUAGUAAUAUUUCAACUGUUAAAACUAAUUUUCAGCAUGUUUAAUAUAAUUUUUAGCAUGUUUAACACAAUUUUCAGCAUGUUAGCAUAAUUUCCUGCAUUAUCUUCAGCAUGUUAGCAUAAUCUCCUACACUAUUUCACCAUUUUGACAUAAUUUUCUACACUACUUUUAGCACUUUAAAUGUAGAUUUGAGGCAUUCUCAACAUGUUAAACACUAGUUUAAGUACAUCAUUGCAUCAUGAAAUAGUUCAUAACACUCAAUUCAUGAAUCUCUUACAUAUUUACCGCACUUUGACAUUCUCUUUUAAUCACUCACGAUACAUUGUUGCAUACACAUGAAUCACAAUUGUCUUUUCUCACACUAAUGAUUGUUGGACACUUAGUAUCAUGACUAUAGGUUAACGACAUAAUAAUAAUUACUUGUCUUUGCAUGUUGUCACAUUAAUUAACAUUAAUUAACCAAGAGGCUAACUUGGGAUUAUUAUGUGCCACUUGUUGUCCAAUUUGUUACGCGCUUCGAGUCCUAGGCAACAUAACUUUCUUUUCGUCUAGAACACAAAUCCAAAAUAGUAAAGUCCAAUGCCUCUUGGACGAUAAGUGGGAUGAUAAGUAUUGCUAAAAGACGUUAGUUUUAUCCUUUUCAUAGAACGCACUUAGACUUGACAUCCGGCCUAGGUGGGGUAGGACGGGUAGUCAUUUGGAAGUGAUGAUCCCAACGGAUAUUAAUGGCGAGGCUAAUGACAUUAUUACUUAUCUAAGAGUUCGGCCCUUAGGGCGGAUGAUGAUUAAACAAAUUGGGGUUCUGAUCCAAAUAAGACCAAAAUAUUUCUUUGUUUGACUUGGACGAUUUUUUUAGUCUUUUUAUUUAUUUUACAUGUUUAUUUUGGGGUAGUUAGUUAUUACAUAAGCAGUCCCCACUAUUAUAAUUGUUUUCCUUCUUUCUUCUCGCUUGUCUUGUUUAUAUAUUCUAUCACUUAGAUGAUUAAUAACUAAAAUAAAUAUUUGUUAAUUGCUUUAUCACCUAGAUAAAUGUUAUAUUACUAAUAAAAUAAGAUACUUUAUUUGAUCAUGUAGAAUCCCCACGUAAAUUAUGAAUUCGGCCGGGAACCACCUUUGUGGAUCUCAAAAGGUGCCUAACACCUCCCUUUUGAGGUACUUUGAACUCUUUCGUAGUAGCCUAGAACAGUGCCCUAACGCACCUUAAUAUGUUAUGUGGUGACUCUUCACACUCUACCUUUCAAAUAAUCCUAAAAAAGAGUGGUCACGUCGAAUCCCACUUUCUGCGAGGAAAAUGGGGCUCCACAGUAUGAUAAGACAUGACCUAGGAUCUUGUAGUCAAAUAUUUGUCAGUAUGGGGUCCUAGGUGAGGCCUAGGGUACGAGAUAAGGGUACCACUCAUACCCUAGGAUACGGUUUAGGUGUGUAAGUCGUACCCUCCUGCGAGUAAGUUUUCAGCAUUUAAGCUGAGGGCAUUCCAGACAUUUCCCACCCCAAAACCCUUGAGACCCAUAACUUAUAAUAUUAUUUGGCCUUUUAUUCUUGAAUUAACAAGAUAAAAAACACUCCAAAAUCCUCUCUAAACUUCUUCAACAAGAUUGGAGGCUAGGGUUUCAAGAAGUGCUCAUCUAGAGGGUAAAGGGGUCAAGUUCUUUCCGUGAAACAUCUUAUAUAAGGUAUCUGACUCUCCAUUCAUAGUUAUUUCUUAAAUAUCAUGUGUUUUAAACAUUAAUUUUGAUUCUUGAAUGGUGGUUUUUGAAACAAAUGUUAAGGGAUUUUAUGUAUAGUGAUGAGUAUUGUUUACUCUUGUUUAAAUUUGUAUUUUUACAUGUUUUGGUGAUGGUUUGCAUAUGUAGGUGCUUGUUGAUUUUGGUCUAACAAAUAAGUCAUGAGUAACCCAAAUCUUGAUGGUUUGUCAUGGUAAAGGUAUGCUCUCAUGGUGUUUGUGAAAAUGUCUAAGAGAAAUAACUAGUCACAUGUUAAUAGUAUUUUGAACUAAGAUAAUGACUUAAUGAGUAAGAAUGAUUGGUAAAUAACUUUGUAAAUUCCUUAUUGGACAUGCAAUGAGUUGAUUUGUAACUUUGGUGGUUUGAUUGGUUAAAAGAGUUUGAGUUCCUAAACAUGAAAUUGAAUUAUGUUUGAACUAAAGCUUGGUGUAAGAAUGCUAAUUCAGAAUAAAUGGUUUGGUAAAGGUCUUAAUGACCACAAUUUAACUUGAAUGGUGAUUGAAACUAAGUCAUUGGCCUAGUAGAUGUGAUUGAUUUAUAAAUGGUUCAUAAGGACCUGGUGGUUAUGUAUACUAUUGAAUUGUAGCCUAAUUGGCUAAGUGGGUUAGAGUUCUUGAAUGUUGAACUGAGUGGAUGUGAAUGGAUGGGCAAAGGAUUAGAGUCUCAAUGUCGACUAGUAAUGGACGCGAUAGCUUGUGGUUAGAGUCCACUUGCUUAAAAAGAUGGCUUGUGGUUAGAGUCUACUUGUCGAUUAAAAUGACUUGUGGUUAGAGUUUGCUUGCUUAAUAAAAUGGCUUAUGGUUAGAGUCAUCUUGAUUAAUAAGACGGUUUGAGGUUAGAUUUCCCUUGCUUAAUAUAACCGGGAAGUUCAAACUUCCUAACCUAUGCGAGUGAGUGGUUAGAGUCCUCCACUUCAUGUAUCAUGAUUGAGUGUUUCAAAAUGUUUGCUAAGGCCUUGUUCCCUUUCCCAACACUCGAUAUAUCUAUAUAUAUCUACAUAUAUGUCUAUGUAUAUAAAUAUGGUUGCAUGUGAUGGUUUGACUUGGUUUUGAAUGAUGACAUUAUUUAUCCUUAUACUUAAGUUAUAUGCUAGCACUCCAACCGCUAACAAUCUCUGGAUGUUGUAUCCCCAUGCGAUACAGAGGCCAGAGCUUCUUCUUCUCUUCCUACGCAGUGACCAGGUGUUCGAGGGGUUCGUGUGUUGAUUUUGAAGUGGUGAGCUUUCAUACUUCGAAAGGCAUACAUUUCAUGGCCUUUCUAUCUUAUGUCAUAGACUUAUUUUAGACUUGGUUUUUGGCUAUUGUCGGGAGCAUGUACCGACAUAUUAUAGACAUCAAAUUUGUAAAGGAUUUGCGGAUGACUGUGGACUUGGGUAUGUUGGCUUAGUAUGUGACAUUAAUGGAUUGAUUAGACACUUCUUAAGUUAGGAUUAUUAGUUUUGUUUCCAAUAUCUUGUUAUAUAUUCAGAGUUUAUCUGAUAUUUGUGGAAUGAUGUGGUGGUUGGGUUUGGUUAAUGGAGCGAUCUUCGAUCCUUUUGGACUCUAGAUGCCCAUUUCGACAUGGCCUUGAUUCGGAUCGUUUCACUUUGUACGAUGUGGUGGUGCAACAGACACAUACACAACACAUUCAAAAAAUUUCAAAUAAGAUAUAUUAGGCUCUUGACCCAAAACCAACUAUAAUGGAGAAAAUUUAUGAUAAUUUAUAAGUUCGAGAAAAACAAGUGUUGCAAAAUAGCAUAACCCCAAACAGAGAUGGGCAAUGUAGUUUUCAUAAGCAAUGGUCUUGCUAUCAAUUGCAAAAUUUUAAUUAAUGACUCAGCAAAACCAUUUUGAGUGUGAACAUUAGCUACAAGAUGUUCAACUUUCAUCCCAAUUGAUAACCAAUUAUCAUUAAAUGCUUGGGAUGAAAACUCUGCAACAUUAUCAAGGCGAAUAGACUUGAUCUAAUUAUUAGAAAACUGUGUCCAUAAUAGUAUUAUUUGUGCCAAUAAUUUUACAAAUGUCAAGUUGCGAGUGACAAUAGGCACACAUGGGAUCAUCUAGAAGAAGCAUCAAUCAAAAACAUGAAAUAUCAAAAUGACCCACUAGGUGGAUGAAUAGGCCCACAAAUAUCCCCUUGUAUAUGUUCUAAGAACACAGGAAAUUCAAUCCCAAUUUUAAUUGGUGAUGGCCUCAUAAUUAUCUUGCCUUGAUAACAGGCAGUACAAGAAAAUUCAUUAUUUGAAAGAACCUUUAUGUUCUUUAAUGGAUGUCUAUUUGAAUUUUCUAUAAUUCAUCUCAUCAUUAUAGUUCUCGGAUAUCCCAAUCAAUCAUGCCAAAGUUUAAAGAUAUUGGAAUUAGUAAACUUUAGGUUUACUAUAGAAUGUGUCUCAAUCGCACUAAUCUUUGUCCAAUACAAGCCAAAAGAUAGAGCAGAGAACUUUUCUAUAACGCAUGUCUGUUCAGAGACAUUCUUGGUAAUACCAAGAUAUUCAUAGUUCAACUCAUCCACUGUCUUGAUAUGAUAAUCAUUUUCACGGAUAUCUUUAAAACUCAAUAAGUUUCUCCGAGACUUAGAAGCAAACAUAACAUUAUUUAUGAUGAGUUUAGCUCCCUUAGGCAAAAUUAUAAUGACUUUUUCGAAGCCUUCAAUCAAAUUAGUACUACCAGAAAAUGUAGUAACAUUUAUUUUGCCCAUACUUAAAUGAGAAAAAUAUUUGUCAUUUUUAAAUAUUGUGUGUGUUGCAUCAGAAUUAAUUAAGCAAAUGUCUUCAUAAUUGCAUAACUUGCUUUGAAAGUUAUUCAUUUCUUCAAAUAAAAUGACAUACACAAAAUAAAUAUAUAUUAAAUAUUAAUGAUGGAUAAACUACAAAGUCAACACUAAGUAGUAUAAUAAAUUUGAGCAAUUAAAUGAAUGAUGUCCACUUUCAUGGUAACUAUUAAUAGAAAGUCACAAGUACUAACAUUUCUUUUUCACGUACUUGUUCAGAAAACAAUAUCAAUAAUAAUAGUUGGUCCAUGUUAAAGAAAAAUUUAUUGGUAAUUUGAUUAAAUGUUUCUCUAUAAAUAUAAUUCGGUGAACUAUAUUUUAUGAUAUCCAAAAAGAUGCAAGAAUUAAGACUAUAAUUUAAUGAGCAAUUUUUUUUUUCUUUUCGUAAGCAAACAAUACAUUGCAAUAUUAAAAUAUGAUAGGAUCAAACCAAAAAUAAAUUACUAAGAAACUUACAAUAAUAUGACUAAACAAGAAUACUAAUAAAAUAAAAUAACUACUCAUAAUUAACAUUUAUUCAUUGCACUACUAUUACUAACAAACAUUAAAAGUUGUUCACUCUUCCAUAGACACAGAACCAUCACCAAUCAAGUGAUCUAUCGUUCCCUCAAGAUGCUCGAAGAAAUCUGCUACAUCUAAAUGAGCAACGUCAACAUGAUUUUCAGAGAUAAAAUUAGCUUCAAAAUUUUUCUUUUUUUCUUUACUUAUGUUUGAUAAAGCUCAACCAAGUGUUUGGGAGUACGACAGUCACGUAUAAAGUGUCCUUUUGCACCACAUCAAAAAACAACCACAUACCUGCUUCACGUUUCUCAUUCUUUCCUUGUCCCUUUUGACAGGGCCAUUUCUUUGAUGAAUGACUAACACCAGGAACAUGAUUUCUUUCUUGACCAUACUCAUAACCACAAUCACAUCCAUGACCAGAUCCGCGACCCAUUUCACGCUUAGCAUGGUGCGCGUACACCUCAUUCACUUCAAAAAGUGAAGUUGAUCUAGUAGGUCGGAGCUCAUGAUUUUUCUUUAAUAAAUUAUUAUUUAGUUUAUCCACAAGAAGAUAAGAAUUUAGUUCAGCCACAAGAAGAUGAGAACUUAGUUCAGAAUAUUUUUUAAAACUUUUUUUCGAUAUUACUGCUACAAGAGCACAUUCAAGGCAUCAAAGGUGGAGAGUGUCUUUUCCAUCAUAUAACAUCAUUAAUAGUCUCUCCACAUAAUUUUAAUUGAGAAAUUUUUUUGAAUAUGGUAGUGUUGUAUUUAUAAAUAGACUUAUAGUUUUGAAAUCUCAAAUGUAUUCAAUCAUAUCGUGUUUUUGGAUGUAUGACCAUCUUUAGGUGGUUAUACCUUUCUAUUGGGUUAUUCCACAAAACAAGUGGAUCCUUAACAGUAAGAUAUUCAAUUUUUAAAAUUUCGUCAAUAUGAUAACGCAAGAAUAUCAUAGUCUUAGCAUGAUUUUGAUUUGAUGCUUUAUUUCAUUUUUAAUGGUGUCUCCAAGACUCAUAGCCUCCAAAUAGAUUUCAGCAUCCAAUACCCAUGAAAGGUAAUUCUUGCCCAAACUUUGAAGGCAACGAACUUAAAUUUCGUAAGAUUAGACAUAUUAAAAAGGAAGAGAAAUAAUACCUUGAUCUUUCAAUUUUGAGAUAGUAGAGUCUCGUAUUAAUAACGUGUUAUAAAAUAUUUAAUGGAGUAAAGAAAUUAAGAAACAAAUAGUACAGACUUAUGUUAAUUUUUAUGUGUACAUAAAAAGGAGGCAAUGUAUGCCUUUAUAGGCAACCUUAUCAAUUAUUGUAACCAAUACACUUGUGCAUGGAACAUAUACUUUGACAAACAAGACACCGUUAAAAAUUAGAGACAUCCACACAUGAUAUUUCUUAACAAAAUUUAUUUUCUUGACUUUAAAUUAAUAGCAGUAUCUUCAACUCCUUCCAAAACCAUAUUUACGACUUUCACACCUUGGGCCCUAGCCUUGAAUUCAUGCUUUGAUCACUGCAUUCUCACUGUAUAUGUAUGUUUCUUGCCCUACAUACUAAUGCAAACACGCCAAACUUCACAAAUACCGACGGGACAUAUGUUAGUCGGCAUUUGAACACUACGAUAUUUAACACUGCUUCAUCUUUAUUCGUCACAUUUCAAUUUAACACAUUCAUUAAUAAAAUAAUUAUUGACAUAAUUAAUUUAUUAUAUUAUCUUUAUUAAUUAAUAUUUAACAUUAUAUCUUAAAAGUAAUUUAAAGAAUAAACCGUUAAUGUCAAGGAUAAUACAAUUUUUUUUGUCUUUUAUUAAUAUAUUAAAAGUGAUAAGUAAAAAAUAGAACUUCAUUUUAAAAAUAAGUGACAAGUGAAAGUGAACAAAUCAUGUAUUAAUGACUUUUUGUAUUACUAAUACCAUAAUUUCAUAUAUUAAGGACAAUUCUAUUUUAAAUAUGCUUAAUUAUGUACUCCUUCGUUUCGUAUUAGUUGACCUUCUUACUAAAAAUGUUUGUUUCAGUUUAGUUGUUCAACUACUAAAAUCAAGAGUAUUUUAUAUAUAUGUUUUCAAUUUUAUCCUUAAUGGGAAUAAUAAAUACAUUCACAGUUUUAAAAAUUAUUGAAUGAUGUAUAAAUGAUUUCAAUUCUCAAAAUCAAAAUUAAAUAAUUAUUAAUAGUUUCAAUUAUAAAUACUCAAUGUUCUAAACAUAAUGAAUGAAAUGAAAUAAUAUGUAUAAAAUUUUAAUGUUUAAUUAUUACAUUGAUUAUUGAACUUUAAAAGACAUACAAGGGUAAAUAUGUAAAUGCAUCUCUAUUUAUUGAUUUAUAUUAAUGAGUAUAUCAAGUCCAUAGACGCCAACAAAUACGAAACGAGGAAAAUAUUAAUAACUUUGUAUUACUAAAAUCAUAAUUUCUUAUGUAUUAAUUAUACAUUCUGUAACUAUACCAAAGUCACCCCUACAUGAUUGAAGUUAAGAAAUAUACAUUAAUUAUACAUUCUAUAAUAUUGAAUAAGGUUUAUACCUCAUCCUACCGAAGCGACCCCUACCCCUACAUGAUUGAAGUUGAGAAAACUUAUCUUUUAAGUUCAAUAGCAUUGUUACUUUUAAAGAUAUGGAAUAUUAUGGCCAAAAUAAGGUCCUCAUUGGGGGGGGGGGACCCAACCCAGCUCGCUAACCCAAUCAAUAAGGUCUAUAAAGACAGGAAAGAGUACCCAUUCCUCUAACAAGCAAAAUAUCAUUGAGAAAUGGCCGCAGCAAAACUGUUCUUCCUUGCAGCAGCUUUAAUUUCCCUCUCCUACCUCACCGGCACAGCAGCCGCCCCCGUAGCCUCCACCAGUUUCAUAAAGAGCUCCUGCAAAUCCACCACUUUCCCCGAAGUAUGCAUCGCUUCCCUUUCCGGUUACGCAUCGGCAAUAAAGAACAGCCAAGAACAGCUAGUGAAAACUGCCUUGUCCGUAAGCCUAAACAAAGCCGAAACUACAAAGGAAUUUGUUAGCAAGCUGUUGAAAUUCAAGGGAUUAAAGCCUAGAGAGUAUGCAGCUAUAAAGGAUUGCGUAGAGGAGACAAGUGACAGUGUAGAUCGGCUUACCAAAUCUGUGAAUGAACUCAAAAGAAUGGACCGUAGCCAUGGGAAGGAUUUCCAGUGGCACAUGAGCAAUGUGGAGACAUGGGUAAGUGCUGCAAUUACUGACGAGAAUACUUGUACUGAUGGAUUUGCUGGUAAGGCUUUGAGUGGGAG